Molecule: long non-coding RNA, 49156 nt
Filed under: Triticum aestivum (bread wheat)
Lineage: Eukaryota; Viridiplantae; Streptophyta; Magnoliopsida; Poales; Poaceae
Description: long non-coding RNA (TAES_LNC022106)
Rfam family: MIR1120/MIR1122 microRNA precursor family (bases 3758-3892)
Source: RNAcentral
CGUAGCAUCCUCACUGGCCUUGUAGAUACCUAUGUACACGAUUUGCUCGUACGCGUGGAUGUGUAGGUCGACGAAUUCUUGCAGGGUGAGGCGCCUCGUGGCGAGCGCGACCUCUAGGUGGACAUUCUUCGUGGCAUCGGCGGGCAGUCGCGGGACCACCAGUGCUUGAAAGAGGUUCCGGCCAUGGAGGCCGAUUAGGGUGGCAGGCAAUGAGGAGCCCGGGCGCGCGGGCUAGAGGAGUACGGCGAUGUCAUCCGCGAGCUUCUUGAGGAUGGUGAACUUGUUGCUGGUGGCAACGAUCAUCUGGUCCAACUGAGAGUCAUAGUUGGCAUCGACGGCGGCCAUCCACCAGCCGGUCUCCAACACCGUCUGGAGACGAUCCUCGGUGCCAUGCCGCAGGCCAACGUCGUGGACCAUCUGGCGCAGCCGCUGGCCGCUCACGCGCAUCGCCGCCAUGGGUCUGGAGCGAGCUUUUCUGCGCUUAGUGUAGGUGCUUAGCCAAGUGCUUAGGUGUGUAUGAUGUGGUAGAUGCAUUGGAAUGGAGGAGGGGCGCCUUUAUAUGAGGGCAAUGAGGGAAAACAGCGUUGCAUUCACAUCGUGCAGCCUCUUUUCUCGGACCUCCUCCCAUUACUUCCCUCAUGCAUUAAUUGAAGGAGGAUGCAUUGGCCGUUCAACAUAUCGGGAACCGCUACUCCCUCCCUCGUCUGCAUUGAAGGCGUAUCGGGAACUGCACCGCCCGCUAUCAAAUCGAAUACUCCCUCCGUCUAGGUGAGUAUUAUAAGUCAUCUUACGAAAACCAAAUACUAGUAAGACUAGCCACCGUGGGAGUAACUUCAGCAGUAACAUCGAGUCCAACUCAGCAAAUUUGCUUAUGUGGCAGUGAGUUAACUUAUGAUACCAUGCACUACGGAUGUAGUAUCAUACACUAGUAUCAUAUGCAUGAUACUAGUAUAUGACACUCGCCAUUACGACUAGCAUAAUAACUUAGCUAGUUACUGUAACAUCACAUGUCCCAAUGCAAUAUGAGUCUAUAACCUAAUAAAUGAAGCUUUGCAUGUUGCCACACUUAUGUUACUACUAUAUCUGUCCGGGUUUAUUGGUCCCCAUUGUAUUUCAUGGCAAAUUUUGACCAUAGAUUAAACUAAGAAAAUGUUCACGCAUGUCACUAAACAUUAUAUUUUUCAAAACUAUGUUCAAAGACAAAUCCAAUGAGAUAAUUUUUCUUGACAUGCAUUAACAUUUUGUUAGUUAAAUCUUUAGUCAAAAUUUGGCACGAACUAUAAAAGGGACCUAUAAACCAGGACGGAGGUAGUACCCACAAUGAAGGUAGUAACAUAGUCUAGGGAUAUGUAUAUGUUACUAGUGUAUGUUACUCACCAUUGUGGCUAGUCUAACACAUAGGCGUGGUGCAUUAACUCUCACAGUUUUCUUAUUUUUUGACAUAAAUAGAGGAAUCAACCAAGAAGAGAUGUUGGGCUUGUAUACUUUUAAUGACUUGAGACUAUCAAACAUGACAUGCAGUGGUCAGUUCGUUGCACAAGAACAAAUACAACCCACGCCAGCACACACGCAUCUUAUAGCAUCACAUCCAAUGGCUAUAAAAGAUGAAUGAGACCAAAUUAUAUCUCAUCUAGAUGAGUUCUAGCAAAACUGUAUUAAUAAUACUUAGUACUCCUACGCCAUGUAUCAUAUAAGUAUCAUGUAGUACUUUAUUUAUUGCCAUGUAUGACACAUAGUUCACGAGCGCUCUCUAUUUGUACCACCUAUUUUUUAAUUUCAAGUUUUGCUCCAUGGCGCAAUCCAUCGAUACUACUACUGUACAAAAGUGGAGUAUACACAUUUUUUAAAAGGCUAGAGGGCGGUGCGGUCUAGCUCGGUCGGUUUCACGAGAGGCGAGGGCCUUUGUGAUUUGACGGCUCAUUAAUGUUGUCAAAUCGAAUAGUACUGUGCCGCCCGCUGCACGCCCGGUGCCUCCAUUAAACCCCUCCAUUAAACCCGCAUGCAAACCAAGAAUCCUACUCCGGCCACACGUCCGUUCAUGAGCAGGCCGGAAUUAAACGCAAUACCGGCCGACCUGCUCUUGUCCGCCCUCAGUUUAAACGAGGCCAGACGUCGGCCAAGCUCCUACCGUCCGCCCUCUAUUUACACGAGGCCAGAAAGACAGCGGGCAAGAAUCGCACCCCUCCGCCGCUCCCCCAUCUCCUCCUUCACCAUUUUCUCCACCCUUCUGAUGGCUUCCGAUGAGCCGUUCUCUGGCAUAUUACUCGGCUGGGUGGCCCGCUGAGACCUCCGGAUAUGGGCGAGGACGCUCGGUGCUUCACCAACCUCGCUUGGCCCGACGGAGCCAGUUGCCGCCCCAAGCAGGCGCGUGGUUCAGCAACUCGCCGCUCCAGUUCAGCUCGAUGAGGAGUGGCGAGUUGCUCCACGCCGGCACGGCGGCGAGCACGCCGGUACGGGCGCCGUCGCUGCCACGUCGUACCGCGCCACCAGUGUCUAUGGUGGCCGCGCCUCCCGUGUCUAUGGGCGUGCCUCCCGUGCCUGCGGUAGCGCCAUGCAGGCAGAGACAGAAGCCGGGUGCAUGGAGAGCGACUAGUCGGUGGCCAGCUUCUCCCUGUCCGCCGCCAUCAUCGAGGAGAAGUAGAACACGGGAGGCCGCCGCCACUUGGGACCCAUGAAGGCCACCGCCGAGGCGACGACCGCGGAUUCAGGUGGUUUCUUUGCUGCUUCGUCUCUUCCGAGGACCUUCGUCGACCCCGCAAGUGUCUGACGGACAUGAGGAAGACAAAGGGAUCCGCAGGUGGCCAUUUAGAACUAAAAUAAGUCUAGAGAUAUCCAUUUCUAGGACAAGUAUUUCCGGACGGAGGGAGUAUUAAUUAUACAAGAGAGUCGGAUUGGCACCUCUUAGUUCAUGUAAAUGUAAUGAAAUCCAUCAUGUUUAUAUGAAGAUCCGGCUUUUUUAUACGAAAUCCUUCAUGCUUAUAUGAAAUCAGUCCGUGUUUGCACGAAUUUCAUCUGGUUGGUUAGAGUUGUAAAAAUGUAUGCCGCUGGCGUUUGAUGUCGUCCUUCGCGGAAGGAAGCGGGAGGAAAUUUGCCGGCUGCCGUUGGAGAUGCUCUUUAUGCUGGAAAUAAUAGAGUGACAUCCAAUCCAUUUGAGUUAAUUGCCUGUAUGAUUGUCCCUCUAUAAAAAGUUAAUUGCAUGUACAGUGUACACGUGACUUGUAAGGUGGCUACAGCUUCGUACAGAAAGUUAAAAAGAAACAAGUCCAUCCUUAAUAUUCUAAGUACUCUAUGGGUUCCACUGUCAAUACAGUAGCGAAAGAAGUAUAUAUUAAAUAAGUAGAGUAAUAUAUAAUAUACAAAUCUAAAUUUAAAAGACAUAAUUCGAACUCAUGUCAUCGUGUUGCGAGCAUCCGGUGCUAACAAGCCCAACACAUUUUUGUUGUAGACCAUGCUGGAGAUAUAUCUCCAUGUCUACUCUUAUAUAUACUCCAUUCGUUCCUAAAUAUUUGUCUUUUUCAGAUUUCAAAUGGACUACCACAUACGGAUGUGUAUGUAGACAUAUUUUAGAGUGUAGAUUCACUCAUUUUGCUACGUAUGUCUUUUCAGGAAGGGGUCAGAUUUGUCCUUGAUUUAUUUAUGAGGUAUCCAGAUGGCACUGCACCGCCAAGAAAAGAGGGUAACAUCGAAAUUAUGGACUACUUUUUUGAGUAUGUUGGUAAGGUCCGGUCAUAGUCACUUGUUGAAAUCUCUAAAAAGACAAAUACUCCCUCCAUCCGGAAAUACUUGUCAUCAAAAUGGAUAAAAGGACAUGUAUCUAGACGUAUUUUAUUUUUAGAUACAUCUAUUUUUAUCCAUUUUGAUGACAAGUAUUUUCGGACGGAGGGAGUAGAAAACCGAGUUGGUGAUGAUGGUGUGCGUACCAUCCUGCAAUAUAGGCCGUCGGAUUUAUAUCUAACGGAUAGGAAAGAAACUAUGGCAAUUUUGCAAAAAUAUACCCACACGUCUCUCCACGUUCACAAAUAAGGCCUUCCCUCGUUCAUCCUUUUCUCUCACAAGAUAAACUACUCAUACAAAUGCAUCUUGAUGUUCCGUGCAACGCACGGACAGCUAGCUAAUUUCUUUUAAAGUAGUUGCUGCGAUAAUUGGGUUGAAGUGAUAUGUUUUAUGUCUGCCCUGAAUGAUUUCAGAUUCACUAGUACUCCCUCCGUUCCAAAAUAGAUGACCCAACUUUAUACUAAAGUUAGUACAAAGUUGAGUCAUCUAUUUUGGAACGGAGGGAGUAGUAACAAAGAAAAGGUUGCCUUGUUAAUUAACAGAAAACGGGGUGAAAACUAUCACAUGAGGCUGGUAAAAACAAGGCACACUGGGUUCAGUGUCAUCGUCACUACAGUUGUGCGUGCGCGAGAAGUCUACAUAUCGAAGGGGCUACCGAGCGAGGCACCGAGACACAAUGUUUGAGAGAGAAACCAAUUGACAGAUUAUGAUCAGAUCGAGUUGUCACCCUUCUGCUGUCAUUGUUGGGGGGGGGAGGGAGAGAAAGACGUAUCGAGAGUGUGCGUGGUAGGCACAUAGGCACAACUAGCGAGUGUGUGUGUGUGUGUGUGUGUUUGAAAGAGGAGUUGAUAGAUUAUUAUCAAGAUCGAUGUGCCACCCUACUCCUUCAGCGUCGGGUAGUGUGUGUGUGUGUAUGUUUGAGAGAGAAUCUAGUCGAUAGAUUAGUAUCAAGAUCGAGGUCUCACCCUACUCCUUCGGUGCCGGGUAGUGUGUGUGUGUGUGUAUGCUUGAGAGAGAAGCCAGUCCAUAGGUUAGUAUCAAGAUCGAGGUGUCACCCUAUUCCUUCGGUGUUGGGAAGUGUGUGGGGGGGGGCAGUGACACUCACAUAUCUCUACUCUUAUAAAAACAGAGUUGGUGAUGAUGGUGUUCCUGCCACCCUGCAAUAUAGGCCAUCCGAUUUAUAUCCGACGGACAUGAAGGAAAAUAUGGAAAUUUUGCAAAAAGAUACCCACACCCCUCUCCGCAUUUGCAAACAAGGCAUUCCCUCGUUCAUCCUUUUCCCCCACAAGAUAAACUUCUCAUACAAAUGCAUCUUGAUGUUCCGUGCAACGCACAUGGGCAUCUUGCUAGUAGGGAGAAGGAGUUUGUGUGACACAUAUCUAGCUAUAUUAAGGGAUAGGAGAUAGCAUAUGUGUGAGAGACAUUAUUAUACUUUGAGACAUUAGUGGCUGUGGGUGGGCGGAAUUAAAGGGGUGGGCGUGUUAGACAUAGAGAGCAUGUGUGUUUCUGUGUGAGAGACUUGUAGGACGGGGUAGAAAGACAAAUUUAACCCCGACGGAGGGAGAGAAAUACACGAAGUGCGCGUGUGUGAUUCCGAUGCCCAUAGGGAAAUGAGAUAUGUAUGCGUGUGAGAGAGAUUGCACAAUUCAUUCACGUAUCACUAUCUAGCAACCGUGGACGUGCAUCGCUUGAACAUAAGUCAAUAUCUACUUCGUAUCGUGGCCAAAGUUACAAUAUCGAUUCAACGCUAUAAAGAUUGGACACUCACAUAUCACAUUUUUUUCUAUUUAAAUAAACCUUUUUCAGUUGUGCAUGCCAAAGUUACAGUGAUGUUUCUUCAAACAACCAAUGUAGCUAUCAUGCACAUGCACCAUUGUUAGUCCUGCAUUCACAUUCAUUAGUCUUGGAUGAUUUAAGUUUCUAUUUUGAAGUAAUAUAUAUGUAAUAUUCAUAUAUGAAUUCAAGGGUUACGCAAUUUAUGAAAUGGAGGCUAUGUAAUCAUAUGAGGUAACACUUUUAAGUAGCUAACUACAAUAUCCAUUUCUUUUUGUGCGCCUCUACACUAACACGUCAAUGCAUUAUGUUUAAAGUAAAUAACCAAUGGCACUAAAUUAUCUAUUUACAUGAGAAAUACAUAGGCUGAGUGAGGGAGUCCUGGAUUAGGGGGUGUCCGAAUGGCCGGACUAUGACCUUUGGCCGGACUCCUGGACUACGAAGAUACAAGAUUGAAGACUCCGUCCCGUGUCCGGAUGGGACUUUCCUUGGCGUGGAAGGCAAGCUUGGCGAUGCGAUAUGAAGAUCUCCUCCCAUUGGAACCGACUCUGUGUAACCCUAGCCCUCUCCGGUGUCUAUAUAAACCGGAGAGUUUUAGUCCGUAGGACGAACAACAAUCAUACCAUAGGCUAGAUUCUAGGGUUUAGCCACUCCGAUCUCGUGGUAGAUAUACUCUUGUACUACCCAUAUCAUCAAUAUUAAUCAAGAAGGAGUAGGGUUUUACCUCCAUUAAGAGGGCCCGAACCAGGGUAAAAACAUCGUGUCCCUUGUCUCCUAUUACCAUCCGCCUAGACGCACAGUUCGGGACCCCCUACCCGAGAUCCGCUGGUUUUGACACCGACAUUGGUGCUUUCAUUGAGAGUUCCGCUUUGUCGUCACCAUCAGGAAGGAUGCCUCAUCCCGUCUUUAAAGACGGCGUCGUUGCUAAAGGAGUUUUGGCUGUCGGCCAAACUCUCCGGCUAGGCAAGUUUUUGAUGACCGUCAGUCCGGCCGCUGCGCCAACGGUGACCUCUCGGGCCAUCGAAAGCAAUCUUCACAUCAGCUCGGAGCUCGCCAAGUAGUUAGAUCCGAUGGAGCUCUUCUCCCUAAACGAACUCUUGGAUCGCAUCGCGGCCCUGGGAGUCGCUACUGAUUACGACCAGAUUGGGCUUAAACCUGAUCAGAGAGAGAUCGACUCUCCCCAGAUCACCCACCAUGUUGAAGUGGUGGAAGAACAAUGCGGCGAGUCUUCGCCCGCCCUAAGGACCAGAUGCGACCGGAUUCCCGAUCCCUCCAAGCCGGAAACCCGCAGGGGAGGAUGUCGCCCGAACCCUGAACCUAAAGUCAAGCAGUAGUCCCGAUUCAUUGAAUAAUAUCCGAGAAAGCAAGCUUCCGAAUUCGAAAACCGCUCGGUCCCUGAAUCUUAAAUCGGGCAGGGUUUCGAAUUUAUUUCCACCCGCCCACCCAACUAUAUGGGAUUUAUCCCUAAUAUGGCAAGAGUCCAGAGAAACAGUACACCACUACUGGGCUAGAUUCCUCCUGGUUAUGAACAGGAUAAAGGACUGCCGCGAGAGAGAAGCAAUUUCACUCUUCCUUAACAACUCCACGGACAUCGAAAUCCUCAACGCCAUAAGUCGCCGCGAAAUUACACGAUUCGCCGACUUGACAUCCAUAGUAUGAAAGUACUGCGCGAUUGAAAGCGUUCGGAAAACUGAAGAUAAAUUCUGGGACAAUCCGGCCCCGAAUAUAACACGAGUCCGAAACAAAAGGGCGCAUUAUCGCCACGCAUCUGAGCCAAACAUCAAAAAACAAAAACCCUCCACAGGGUACGGGACCGUAUUGGAAGGAUGGCUCAAUGGACCAUGUAGAAUUCAUAAUUCAGGGAAAGCCACACCAAUGCACAGCCUUAGAGCAUGUUGGAUACUACGGCAGGUAGCCAGAAGCGGCGAGGAGCUUUUAACUCGAGCACCCGAAGAAUACCUCCCCAGUACGGUGUCGAUAGUCUUCGAGACGUUCACAUCAAACAAUGCAAGGAAACGAACGCUCCGCAACCUCGCUGAAGUCUACCAAGUAGCAACAAUAAACCCAUGGAGUGACACGGCUAUCACCUUUAACGCCAGUGACGAACCUAAAUUCCGGACAACCCAAGCACCAGCCGCAUUGGUCCUCAGUCCGACAGUGGAUGGCUUCCGACUUACAAAGGUACUCAUGGAUGGCGGCAGCGGACUCAACCUCAUCUAUGAGGAAACCCUGCGAAAAAUGGAAAUUGACAGGAGCCGCAUUGAGCAAAGCAACACAACUUUUAGGGGAAUAAUCCCAAGCCGGGAAGCGUGCAGUUCAGGAAAAAUCACACUAGAUGUGGUGUUCGGCACGCCGGACAAUUACAGAUCCAAGGAGGUCACGUUUCAAGUGGCCCCAUUCAGCAGCGGCUACCACGCUUUGCUAGGGCGAGAAGCAUUUACAAUUUUCCAAGCCAUACCCCAUUACGGGUACGUGAAGCUCAAAAUGCCCGGGCCCAACGGAAUCAUCACUCUCACAAGUGAUCCGGACAUAGCACUCCGCGCUGAAAAUAAGACAGCCGCACUGGCCCUGGAGGCAUUAUCGGAGGCCCUAGCGGCCGAGGAGUUAACGGCGUUGCGCUCCACGAUGGACAGGGACGAUGUGAUACUAGACAAGAGAUCCAAGUCCACCUCUUUUAAACCGGCGGACGAAAUAGUCAAAUUCCAAGUCCAUCCAACGGACCCUACAAAAAUGGCCUCCAUCGGGGCACAAUUAAAACCCGAUGUAGACGCCGCACUCAGAGAAUUUCUGCGAGAAAAUUGGGACAUUUCCACCUGGCACCCCUCGGAUAUGCCAGGAAUCCCACGCAGGCUGGCCAAGCACAGCCUGAACAUCAUAAAAGGGUUUAAACCCGUCAAGCAGACCCUAUGGCGCUUUUCCAAACCUAAGAGACAAGCCAUGGGAGAGGAACUUGCAAAACUGCUGGAAGUCGGGUUCAUCAGAGACAUAAAACAUCCAGACUGGCUAGCAAACCUGGUGAUGGUACCAAAGAAGGACAAAUCUUGGCGCCUAUGUGUCGAUUUCAAAGACAUAAACAAGGCAUGUCCAAAGGACCCUUUCCCACUCCCUCGAAUCGAUCAAAUCAUCGACGCCACUGCAGGACACGACUCAUUGUGUUUCCUCGAUGCAUACUCUCGCUACCAUCAAAUCAAGAUGGCAGAGUCAGACUAGGCCGCAACGGCAUUCAUCACACCGUACGGCCCAUUCUGCUUCAACACGAUGCCCUUCGGGCUCAAAAAUUCCGGCGCAACAUAUCAGCGCAUGAUUCAGACAUGUCUGGCCAACCAGAUCGGCAAAACAGUCGAAGCAUACGUAGACGACAUGGUCGUCAAAACAAAACACGUUGAUACUCUAGUAGACGACUUGAGGCUCACGUUCGACAAUCUCCGAACAUAUGACAUUAAGCUCAACCCGGAAAAUGCGUUUUCGGUGUACCAGCAGGAAAGCUCCUGGGCUUCAUCGUAUCCGGUAGAGGAAUUGAAGCAAACCCAGCCAAGAUCCGAGCUCUGUCACAAUUAGAUACCCCAAAGGACCUCAAACAAAUACAAAAACUGACAGGAUGCGUGACGGCUCUAAGCCGCUUUAUCUCCCGCUUAGGAGAAAAGGCAUUACCCCUCUAUCGCCUCCUACGGUGCACCGACCACUUCGAGUGGACGGAGGCCGCCACGACCGGACUCGAAGAAAUAAAAGCCAUAUUGGUAACAAAUCCGGUCCUGGCCGCGCCCAACACGGGCGAACCAAUGCUAUUAUACAUCGCGGCAACCCAUCAAGUUGUCAGCGCGGUGCUCGUCGUCGAACGAGAAGCGGACGGACACAAGUCCCCCCUCCAAAAACCAGUGUACUACGUGUCCACUGUGCUAACUCCAUGCAAGUCACGGUACCCGCAUUAUCAAAAGAUAGCAUACACGGUGUUCAUGGCAUCCCGGAAGCUGCGACACUACUUUCAAGAGUGCUCCAUAACAGUGGCAUCCGAAGUACCCCUUAAUGACAUUAUAAAUAACCGCGACGCAAUGGGCCGGAUUGCCAAAUGGGCCAUCGAGCUCCUCCCAUUCGACAUAACCUACAAGCCAAGGCGAGCUAUUAAGUCGCAGGUUUUGGCCGACUUCGUUGCCGAAUGGACUGAAGCCGAACUCCCUAAAGAAUACGGAGCAUACUCCAACUGGAUCAUGCACUUCGACGGCUCCAAAAUGUUGGCUAGCCUGGGGGCUGGCAUCGUCGUGACGUCCCAACCGGGGACAUAGUCCAAUACAUACUUCAGAUAAUGUACACGGAUUUGAACAACGCAGCCGAAUAUGAGGCCCUUUUACAUGGCCUCCAAUGGCAGUCUCCAUGGGCAUUCAGCGCCUAGAGGUCCGCGGGGAUUCAAAUCUCGCAAUAUCCCAAAUAAAUGGAGACUUCAACGCCAAGGACCCGAAAAUGGCAGCUUACCGCAACGCCAUCUUAAAGAUGUCAGCUCGGUUUGAGGGGCUCGAAUUUCAUCACAUAGCCCGGGAAAAUAAACAAGCAGCAGACGUGCUGGCACGCAUCGGCGCCAAGCGCGAGGCCGUCCCUCCCAACAUCUUCCUAGAAAGGCUGUUCAAGCCAUCUGUAUCAUGGGACGGAGAACCCGGAAACAAUAGCCCGGACACAACUACACUGCCCCUCACCGAGCAUCCUGACACAAUUGGGGGCUACGCCAACGAAACAACGCCGUCAGCCCACGAAAUAAUGGCAGUCAUUGCCCCUUGGACAGAGCCAUUCCUAGCCUACCUAACUAGGCAGGAACUUCCCAAGGACCAAAACGAGGCCCGCUGCAUAGUGCGGCGAUCUAAAGCCUACAAAGUCCACGAGGGAGAGCUUUACAAGAAAAGCACAACCAGAGUCCUUCAAAGGUGUAUCUCCGACGAAGAAGGACGAGACCUUUUGGCUGAAAUCCAUGCCAGACUUGGCGGGCACCACGCCGCAGCCCGGGCCCUUGUAAGCAAUGCCUUCCGUACUGGAUUUUAUUGGCCAACGGCCCGGGCAGAUGCUCAGGACUUAGUGCAACGAUGUGUUGGUUGCCAGUUAUUCGCCAACCAAAGCCACAUGCCGCCUACCGCCCUACAAACUAUACCCAUUACCUGGCCUUUCGCGGUCUGGGGGCUUGACAUGGUCGGACCCCUUAAAGGCGGAACCCACAAGAAAAAAAUACCUACUAGUCAUGGUGGACAAAUUCACCAAAUGGAUAGAAGCCAAGCCUGUAAAGACGACCGAAUCCGGACCAGUGACAGACUUCCUUUCUGGGGUUGUACACCGUUACGGUGUCCCCCACAGCAUCAUAACCGACAACGGCACAAACUUCAUGGCCGAUGAAGUCAAACUUUGGUGCAAAAACAUGGGCAUCAAGCUCGACUAGGCUUCAGUCUAUCACCCUCAAACUAACGGUCAAGUCGAACGGGCCAAAGGUCUCAUUACGAGCGGCAUCAAACCCAGACUAGUGCGAUCCCUCAAGGAAUAUGACAUGCACUGGGUAGAGGAGCUUGACUCCUUACUCUGGGGGCUGCGGACCACGCCGAAUCGCACUACCGGAUUCCCACCAUUUUUUAUGGUAUACGGCGCAGAGGCAGUACUGCCAUGCAACGUAAUCCAUGACUCACCUCGAGUGCGCAUGUACGAAGAAAGAGAAGCCGAGCUCGAUCGGCAGGACAGCUUGGACGCAUUGGAAGAGGAGCGCGACGUGGCAAAGGCUCAUUCCGCAUUCUAUCAACAGCAGGCUCGAAGAUAUCAAAGCAGAGAAGUACGGGCCAAAACGUAUAAUGUUGGCAAACUAGUUCUACGCCUGCCGGACAAGAAAAAGGAUAAAUUAAAGCCCAAAUGGGAGGGCCCCUUCAUCAUUGACCAAGUACUGACCGGCGGAGCGUACCGUCUGCGAGGCACAUCGGACAACCGACUCGAGCCAAACCCAUGGAAUGCAGCACGCCUACGAAGGUUCUACACCUAGCGCCGGACUCCGUUUUCGUCUCCUUCCCUCGUCCCUUUGUUUUAUUUUUUGUUUUUAUUUUUGGCAGUCUGGGUUUUGUUCCUUCUCCCUCCCCCUUUUUCUCACAAGCCCUUAGGGGCUCGCAUGUGCAAUAUUCGCACGCUCCUGACGCGCUAUCUGCGCUCACAAUACCUGGGGGCUUCUCUACCAAGAAGUUUAUAAAAAAUGGGCCUCACGCCCAAAACAUGUGUAAUGCUUCCGCAUGAACCUUUUAUACACCAUUAUAUGCAUCGAUAUGACUUAAGUUUUGGCCAAGCUGGGUUGCCUGGCUCCUGUGCUUACCCAUACAUUCCCGUUCGUUCGGCUAGGUGGUAAAGGGAGCACCUCUGUGAUUGUUACUGCCGGGUCAGCUGGAUGUGUACCUCAAACUGGGUGAAGCCGAAAGCUAGCGUUCUUAAGGGAAUAUUCGGCCGGUGAGCUAAAAGAUGAUCUUUCGUAUUUACUUUUUUCCCCAGAUGCUUUUCUGCUCUUUCUGGCAGUUCGGACAUGCACUUUAGGGCAUGCCUCCCAGGGAAAGGAACCCCUAACGGAACUAUUCUCUCUGGAAGAUGUUUCUUACUAACCAUGUAAUAUAACAUAACUAGUUGGGCACUUGUCUGCUAAAGCACUUAUGACCCCUAUGCCUUGUCUCCAUUCAUGCCCCGGUUCUUACAUAACCAAGAGGGUAUUCGGACACACUCCGGACUAUAGGGUCCAGAGGUCGAAGCGAAAAGGUCCGCAAUGAAAAACGAUCUACAAUCCGGCUAGAGGACAUUUUUUAUGUCAUUUUUACAUAGUCAAUCCGACUCGGCAUAUUCUUCUUCAAUGCCAUCUAACAGGCGGCCUAAUUUACAGUCCUGUUGGGAAUACUUUGCAGCCAGCUCCACCUGGCCAUAUGCCAAGCUGACUGGGAUCUCCUUUCCGUCCGGACCUAUAGGGCCGACCUCGGCCAUGUGGUUUGGGUCAGCCUUCGUGUACCGAGUCUUCACCAUGGCCCAGGCAUCCCUGGCACCUUGACGACAAGCUGAUAUCUUCCAUAACCGGAAGCGCUGCCGCACUCCCUCCAGCUUCUUGGCAAGCUCCUCAAGGCCUUCGGGCACGGAGAGGGAUGGCCACAUAGCCUGGAUGACGCCUCGCAUUGCCUGCCGAACUCGCUCGUGUAGUUGCAACAGCUCGGGAAGAUGGUCUCCCGAUGAACCGGGCAUUUCCUCCGCCGGACGACCCGUCAGCAGACCUACAGACAUAGCUCUGUCAAUCGACUUCCUCGCGGAAUUCUUUUUUCGAAGAUUCGUUCAAGCACUUACUAAAAAUGCCGCGUCGAAGUCGCCGAUUCUCCUUCACGGCAGAAGACAGCUGAAUGCGAACAUCUUUCGGUUCCUCGCCUAGCUGGGUAUUGGCAUCUUGAAGCUUGUUCUUCUCUUGUCUCACCCUCGUCAGCACGUUCUCGCCAGCCUUUAGUUGGCGUAGGAGUUGUUGCUGGUCCAGAUUUACUCCGGCCUCAUCUGCAUUAUUAUAGUCAGGGUUGCACGCCUGCCGCAUUUCAAAAUGGAGGUACCUUUCGAAGCACAUAUUACCUGCGGGCGUCCCCUUGACAUGCUCUAAAGUGGCCAAUGCGGCCUCGAGCUAAGCCUUGCACUCUUCAAGCUCCUGGGACAAUUGCGUGUUCUUCUUUGUAAGACACUGCAUAGCACAUGAUCCUUCAAAUAGUUAUCUUCACUGUUUCAAGUCUCGGGGGCUACUGACAUAUAUAACAUUCAAUUCUACUCACCUGUAUGUCUUUCACAUACUGCUCCGUGGCUUUGGCUAGGCCAUUUUGAGCAACACGGAGAUACGCAUCUCCUGUAUUAAAGGCGUCCAACGCCUCUAGGGAGAAACACGUGUCACGGAGAACAGUCCGACGCCGCCUGUGGUUUAGGGCACUCUCCACCUCUGAAUUGGUGGCAGAUAGCCCGUCGGUGCCCUCUGUCGGAGGAGCGCCCGAGGCGCGUCCCGUGUUUGCCUCUGCUUCCGGACCCGGCCUCGAACCUUGGCCGGCGGACAUAGUCCGGCGGGCUCUCUUCUUUCUAAGAAAAUCAUGAGCAUUAGUAAGACUCAAGGGCAUAAACCCUAAGCGUUAAAUCCGCACACCAUACCGUUGCACCGGAAUCUCGAUCUGGUCUGCACUUAUUUUUGGCCCGCCUGGUUUCAACGGCCCUUGUUGGCUGCCCACCAUGGGCUCGGCCUUCCACCUCAAGGAUUUACCCUGCGAAACGCUGUUAGUGCACGGCAUGCAAGAUAAAGCAUGAGAAUACUGGGACUUUGGUCUUAGUUACCUUGGAGGCUGGAAGUAGUCCGGGGUAGUCGGCCGUGAUGGCCACUAAGGAGUUAUCCUUGCUCAAUUGAUGAAACACUCCAUCAACCAACUCCACGCAUAAGUCCGGAUCUUCUUGGGAGUCCGGAUCGAAGGACCAUUCCGGAUCCUUGGGUUGUGGAGCGGAGCUGUUUAUUUCCUUCGCAGCCUGGCGCAGCUCCUGCGUUUAAACAUUACUAGUCUAAGUACUCAACUACGGGAAUUUCGAAAACGGAUAGGCAAGUGAAAGUGUCCGCUCACCCAACUAGGAGGAUUGUACAUAGAGAAUCCGCCUUCCAGGUUGACACGGAGGAAUUCUUCCUCCUCCCCCUUGUACAAAGCGGAUAAGAUUCUUGUUAAAGUGGCGGCCGAAUCUGGCCCCUUGCGACCGCACCAGGUAGCAUCAUCCUCCCUGUUGAAAUCCCACAUGGGGUGGCCUCUGUAUUGAAGCGGUUGCACCCCUCGCGUGAUGCAUAUGGCCAUGACCUUGAUCAUGGUCAGUCCGGAAUGAGCCAACAACCUUAUCCGGCUCAUCAGGUACAGGACGUCCCUAUCAGCUUCCCUCUGAGAGUUCCGUAGGCGCCAACUCAGGCGCUUCUUCAACGGGGCAUUAUUGAACUCGGGGAGGCCGAUCCGUACAGGGUCUGGCAGGGGGGACGUCAUCUAUAUAAAACCAUUCCGAGGGCCAGUCUUCGGACACCCUCCUUGGGGUGCUGGAUAGAUAUCCGGUCCCGGCGAUGUGCCAUAGCUCGGCUCCGCCCACUUGAUAAAUAGACCCCUCCUGAGAAUGAGGCGCAAGGCAAAACAACCUCUUCCACAGCGCGAAAUGGGCCUCAACACCCAAGAACAGCUCACAGAGGGCCACGAAGCCCGCAAUGUGCAGAAUGGAGGCGGGCGUGAGGUUGUGUAGCUGGAGGUCGUAGAACUCCAGCAACCCUCGAAGAAACGGAUGAAUUGGAAAUCCGAGUCCUCUCAUUAAAAUAAGGGACUAGGCAUACCCGCUCUCCUCGAGAGGGAUUGGGGACGCUCUACGCCUGCUCUCCGCCGCUAUAGGUAGCAAUCCCGGCUCGAACUGGGACCAUGUAUGCUGGGGGGAGAAGCCCCUUGGACUGAAGCACUACUAACUCGCUAUGCGGGACGGAACACUGCCCCCAAUCUCCGGGCCGAGUGCUGGAGGGGCGAGAGGAGGAGCUGCACCGACCGGCCAUGAUGGAAUGGAUCUCUAUCGAAGGCGCUCUGAUGAAAUCUCGCGGAGGGAAGAUGGGGUGAAUUGGAUCUAAAUCCCCGUCUCUUUUAUGGGCGGUUCAUUAACGCGACCAAGGGGGUAACUAAAAAAAUCCCCUGGCUUUUCGCAUUCGUUUGACACGUGGAAGAUGGUCAUUAUGGGGCACAAAAGCAGAGGAGGGCAGCACGCACUAGAAGCCAGACACUAUUCGACGGAUACAGAGAAUUUGCAGGAGAACUGCCUUGCAAUGCCGAAGACAACUUGCGCGCCGGACUCGUCGUCAUUGAAGCCUGGUUCGGGGGCUACUGAGGGAGUCCUAGAUUAGGGGGUGUCCGGAUGGCCGGACUAUGACCUUUGGCCGGACUCCUGGACUACGAAGAUACAAGAUUGAAGACUCCGUCCUGUGUCCGGAUGGGACUUUCCUUGGCAUGGAAGGCAAGCUUGGCGAUACGAUAUGAAGAUCUCCUCCCAUUGUAACCGACUCUGUGUAACCCUAGCCCUCUCCGGUGUUUAUAUAAACCGGAGAGUUUUAGUCCGUAGGACAAACAACAAUCAUACCAUAGGCUAGAUUCUAGGGUUUAGCCACUCCGAUCUCGUGGUAGAUCUACUCUUGUACUACCCAUAUCAUCAAUAUUAAUCAAGCAGGAGUAGGGUUUUACCUCCAUCGAGAGGGCCCGAACCUGGGUAAAAACAUCGUGUCCCUUGUCUCCUGUUACCAUCCGCCUAGACGCACAGUUCGGUACCCCCUACCCGAGAUCCGCUGGUUUUGACACCGACACUGAGCGUUUGAUCUGUUUUUUUGUGAACGCGCCACUACACCCGUAUGAUUGGUCGCGCCCGUGUGAACGUCCAAGUUAUCGGCGCAUCAUCCCGAGUUAUUGUCUUUUUUCUGGGGUGGACUUCACACCAGUUAUUAACUGCUGACGCGUGCCCCGUGUACACAGUCUAGCGUGACCUUCCCGCUAGCACGGUCCAAAAUUAGUUGAAACUGGAUACGAACAAUCCCGCGGGCGGCAAAAUCUCCCGCCUCCUUCUAAAAUUUCCGCCACCUUAGUCUUUAGCAUGCAAAAUCCCCCUUUUGUCCUUGGUGCACGGAGACCAACAGUUACAAUACCGCCCUCAUCUACAUGAUAGGUCGGGGCUGCUUUGGUAACUUCCGGUUCCCCCCACUACACGCCACCCCCAUUUCCUCUCCCCUCCUCCCGCAAAAACGACUAACUCCACAGCACCAGAGCAUCUUACAUCACGUCGUCUGUACUUCAUCGCCAUUUCUCCCCUCCUCUCUCGAAACCCUAGACUGCUCAUCCACCAGCGUACCAUAGCCCAUUCACUGCCAGCGGCGUCCACCUCACCGGAUCUGCUUCUACAGCCGCAUCUACCCCUCCCACCUCCCCUAGAAACAAGUAUACUGCUCAUCCACCACUGUACCACAGCCCAUUUAGUGCCAGCCUUGUCCACGGCGCCGAAUCUGCUUUGCCGGUACUCUCAUCAACCGCCGCGCAUCUACAGUGGCUCAUUCGUACUCUCCACCGGAGACGCUUCGUCCACACCCCCCGGAGCCGCCCCACCGAUGCCCCUGUCAACGGCCUCUAAUUCUCUUCACCGACACCUUCCUCAACCCUACCGGAGGCGCUUCGCCGACACCUUCCUCAACCCUACCGGAGCCGCUUCGCCGACACCAGCGUCAACCCUACCGGAGUAGCUUCGCCUAUACCAUUCUCAACCCUACCGGGGCCGCUUUGCCAACUCACAAGUCCAGGCCUCAGAUCCGCUUCCUUGCACCCUCAUCCAACCUACCGAAGCAGCUUCUGACACCCCGUCCACAGCCGCAGAUCCGCAUCAUCGACACCACCCUUAACCCAACCACCGGAGCAGCUUCUGACGCCCCACCCAUGGCCGCAGAUCCACAUCGUCGACACCAUCCUUAACCCAACCACCGGAGCAACUUCUGACGCCCCGUCCACGGCCGCAUAUCCGCGUCGUCGACACCAUCCUUAACCCAACCACCGGAGCAGCUUCACCUACGCCCUCGUCCACGGCCACAGAUCCGCUUCGCCCACACUGUAGUCCACCCUACCAGAGCCGCCCCACAAACACCCUACUCGACGGUUCUAGAUCUCCUUACCGGAUCCCGACAUCUAGCGCAGCGUCAUCACCCUCGACGUUUCUAACCUGAUUCCCACCGUCUGGAGAGAUGCCAAGCACCCGCCACGGCCUAGGUACUUGUCACCUUUAAACCCGUCCAGCAUCACCUUCCCGAUGUACUUCAAAUAUACUAACCGGUCACUGUUACCUGUUAUGCAGCUGGCAAAAACUACAAGGACAAUGUUUCUUCUAGAUCUAACAGCUUGUCCAACCAAGAUCCUGGACUGGGGCAUUGCUAUGAUCUUGUAAGCGCGUCUCUCUCUCUUGUAUUGUUAUGUGCCUGCCUGCGUGCUUUGCUAGUAUUUUCGACCAGUAAUCCCUUUGUGCAGACAAUGAUUUCUACUACUGGCUGCUAAAUUAGAUAUGUAGAUGUCAUACAUGAUACUACCUCGUACCUCCGUUCCUAAAUAUAAGUCUUUCUAGAGAUUCCACUAUAGGCUACAUACGGAGCAAAAUGAGUGAUCUACACUCGAAAAUGCAUCUAUAUACAUCUGUAUGUGGUCCAUACUGGAAUCUCUACAAAGACAUAUAUUUAGGAACAGGGGCAGUACAUUACACAAAAUCGUAGGUGAAAUGUAGGAAUUCCAGUGCAGUACAUUAGGAUCCCUUAGAGUGCCUGCCAGUCCAGCAUACAGAGCCAUGGCUAGUUUAUGGUACACACACAAUCGUUAAUUGGUGGUUUAAAUAUGCGCAAGGGAUAUGCAAUGUAGUAUCAUGUAGAGAUGUCUGAAAUUAGCCGUGUCAACUUGCAGAUAGGGUUACACAAUGAAAAAGUACAAGAUGUAUGUGGCAAUUUCAUGGAACAUCGCAAAAAAAGGAGAGGCAGCCGUGAGCCUAUACAGUGUGCUAUGGCACGUCACUCCUCCAUUGCAAUCAUCAUGACAUGUUAUUUGUAUGCCAGUUCUAUUAGCAAAGUUUCUUAGGGACAGUUAUUACAAGUUAUCCUAAAAAUAUAAGCACCUGUGAAUAUAAGCUCCAUGGAAUACGCCAACCAGUUCUUUUCAUUGUGUUUUCAGCUUAUCUUUGGUAUGAUCAGUGGAAAGUCUAGAUUGCAUUAUAUAUAUUUUUCAUUUUGCUGCACAUAUGGAAAUUAAUUUGACUUGCAAACAUCACAAAUUGAACCCAGUGCGGUAAUUAAUAUGAUAGGAAAACAGACCAUCACUAUUUGCUCAAAAUGCAAAUACAAAGAUACCAUCUACUUGGCACAAUCUACUUUGGUCAAUCUUUUCCAUAGAGAUCCCAUUGCCUAAUUUAAACGAAGAACGCAUGACCCACAUUUAAAUGAAGAACAAUUAUUUGUUGAAAUUCGAUGGUCCAAGUGGCUGGUUAUUAUCAUAUAGCAGCAGCACCUGAAAGCAUCAUAUAGCAGCAGCAGCUCAUAGCAACUCAUCAUACAGUAGCAGCAGUCUGCAAUUCAUCAUAUACCAGCAGCAGCUCAUAGCAAUUCAUCAUAUAGCAGCAGCAGGAGCAGCUCAUAGCAAUUCAUCAUAUAGCAGCAGCAGGAGCAGCUUGUAGCAACUCAUCAUAUAGCAGCAGCAGCAGCUUAUAGCAACUCAUCAUACAGCAGCAGCAGUCUGCANNNNNNNNNNNNNNNNNNNNNNNNNNNNNNNNNNNNNNNNNNNNNNNNNNNNNNNNNNNNNNNNNNNNNNNNNNNNNNNNNNNNNNNNNNNNNNNNNNNNNNNNNNNNNNNNNNNNNNNNNNNNNNNNNNNNNNNNNNNNNNNNNNNNNNNNNNNNNNNNNNNNNNNNNNNNNNNNNNNNNNNNNNNNNNNNNNNNNNNNNNNNNNNNNNNNNNNNNNNNNNNNNNNNNNNNNNNNNNNNNNNNNNNNNNNNNNNNNNNNNNNNNNNNNNNNNNNNNNNNNNNNNNNNNNNNNNNNNNNNNNNNNNNNNNNNNNNNNNNNNNNNNNNNNNNNNNNNNNNNNNNNNNNNNNNNNNNNNNNNNNNNNNNNNNNNNNNNNNNNNNGCAGGAGCAACUUGUAGCAACUCAUCAUAUAGCAGCAGCAGCUCAUAGCAAUUCAUCAUAUAGCAGCAGCAGCAGCUCAUAGCAACUCAUCAUACAGCAGCAGCAACUCAUAGCAAUUCAUCAUAUAGCAGCAGCAGGAGCAGCUCAUAGCAAUGCAUCAUAUAGCAGCAGCAGAAGCAGCUCAUAGCAAUUCAUCGUAUAGUGGAUCAGAAUGAAAAUUUGGCAAAAAAUCAGCGGAGAUCCUCACCUUGUUGGACGAGCUCAUCCUUCAACAGCACCUCAAGUCAAUGGCCUGGGAGGAGGGGAGGGGGAACAAGGUACCUUCUGCCGCAUUGUGGCAUCAGCCAUAGUUGUGCAGCGCCCACUGGAGUAGUGCGUUGGACGAACCACAGUGGAGCAGCUGCUGGAGACCAUGAGAAUGAGGGGCGGCGCCAGAGGGAGGAGCAGCCAGGGAGAUUUUCCCCUACCCACCGGCCAUGUAGCCUAGCUGGACGUAGCAUCGUCGAGGACCAGGCCAGAUGGGACCAGUGGCGACGGCUCGCUGGAGGAACCCUAGUGCUGGAGGCGGGGGAUCGAGGUAGAGGGAAGGGGAGAGGAGAUGCAAGUGGGUAGGGCAAUGAAUGCUUGCGUGUUUGUUUUUACUUUAGGGUCAGGUGUGACACAGGCGUCAGCAGUUGCAUUUUGAGUGUAAUAUAGGCAGACAAUAGAGUCAUUUCACUAUUCCCCUUCCCUUCAAUUUUUAGUGAGGUUCUACCCGAAACACCCCCUCCAAAGCGAAAUUAGUUAAGCCCAAGCCCAUAACUCAAAAAUGACUUCUUUACAUCUUUUAUGGCUUAUUUUGACAAUAUACCCUGAAAAGGCGAAAUCGAACUGGCCCUUAACAUGCAAUUCAAUUGUGCGUGCAAUGAUGAAUCACGCCUGCCUGCUAUCUGUACAUUUAGGCAUCAUCGUACAUGGCAUAACCUAAUACAUGUGCAUUCCAUUGUAGAAUCUGGAAUAUGCAAUGUUUAUGUUAGUUCAUACGUUGCACAUGAUGUUUAAAUGCCCCUUAAAUCUGGUCAGUCAAGUGAUGGUCUUUAAGCCUCCUUCUUUGCUUCUUUUCUUGAUAUGUAAGAUUUGCUCACACAUCUGUUCAAUUGCUUGUUUGCAUCAGCCAGCCAUACUAGGACUGUUUGCUUUGAUUACUUGUUGUUCUUGACCUAACACUCUAACAGAGCUUGUCAACAAUUUAAACACUAAGGGUUGCUGUAGUGGGGCCUUGUCUAACUCAUAGGUGAAUAAAGGUUUGGCUGUACACUACAGUAGGCUCUCCAAGAGUACCUGGAGAUCCAGCUCGAAGGUAUGCCUAGUUUUUACAUAGUGCAGAUAUAGUAAAUGCUCAUUCCAUUGUGUGCAAGUGCAAGAUAUGCAGCAUGUUUCAUUAUGUGGUGUUGUUUUGUUAUAAUCUUAUCCUUUUGUGUUCACAGACUGGAAAGCAUGCAUAUUUAUCUUCCAAGGAGACGAGUAACUAGUUUGUGUCACCUUGCAGAGGGGGUGCAAUGAAGAUAAGAUUGAGGAUUUCCAAGUACAAGAUGUUAUGAAGGAGCCUUGCAAGAGAAGUUGGAGCUGCGCUGAGCCUCUUCAACCUGCUAAGGUAAGUCACUGUAUGCAACUCAACAGUUCAAUUCCUUGUUUGUUUCAGGCAUAGUUAAUUUUCUCUUUUCAAUUGCUUUAUUUGUCCUCACUUAAUGAGAUGCCCAAAUAAUUAUGCCUGAUGUUCGGUACUUGUAUCACUAUUAGUUGACAUAAUUAAAGGCCUUACCAUUUAAUUACUCUGCCGAAGUGUGUCUGAAGCUUUGAAGUCUAUUAACCAACUAUUAUUGCAUGAGGCUCACAAUCUAGUUUAUACUAUGCUAAUGAUUGCAUAGUUUUGCCUGUUGUAGUAUGUUUGUAUGAAACCCUCUGUUGUUCAUUAUGCUCCCUAAGACUUUAAUUGAGGUACAAAAUGUCCAACUGCUUUCUUACUUAUAUGCAACAUGCUGUCUAAAUUUGUAACUUGUCUGUGUUUUCGAUUGGGCCCCAACAUCAUGCUCCUCUGGUGAGCUAAGAGGGAUUUCUUUAUGCAGGCUGCACAGACUAUCCUUUUUAUAAUUUUUAAAAUAUCACCUGCUUAUGCUUCAUGACGUGUAACAUUUUUUUGUGAAAGUGACGUGUAACAUUAUUGUUAGUCCUGUUUUGCCAUGUAGUACAAAAUAGUGUCUUGUUUGCUUCACUAUUGUAACUAUAUUUUUGGCCUAGUCAUGUGUACUUAGAGAAACAUUUCAGGAUGAAGUGACAUCAACACAAAAAUCUGCGAGCAGUGCGGCAUGGCCAUUACCGAAUGAUUAUGGAUUGGAAUUGGAAUGUGCUGAUGUUCUCGAGCAUCAACUACAGGUGGCAAGACAACAUGUACAUGAUUGUCAACGUAUAAUCAACAAGUUGAGACUGGACAUGCAGGUAUUAGAUGCAGGAGUCAAAAAAAUGAAACAAGACACCGAGGUAACCAUGAAUGAAUUGGAGAUUUUGCUGACUGAAAUUUGUGCUAUUUGAAUCCGGCCAAUCCUAUUUUCUGAAGAGAUUAUAGUUCAAAUGGAGUUAAGUUGAUGCGCGUCCAUGAUGUAUGAGCCAUAUUUGCCUAGUGUAUGUAAUUUGCUGUUUGUGUAUGCUUUAUUAUCACCUGUGCCGUACCAUAAUGCCCAAUGGGUAUAAUCGGCUGUAAUUUCUUUAUUGUAUAGUGUAGGAUUAUUCUACCUUUCUAUGCCUUGAUCUCUUUGUUGUAUAGUGUAUUCUUUUUAAAGGUGAUAGUAUUGAGUAGGAUAAUUCUUUGAAUAUGCUAUAUCGUUUAAACGGGGGCCAACUCACCCGACCAUGGGCCUUCUAUGUCUCAUAGGAUCCAUGGGCCUUCUACGUCUCGUAGGAUCCAUGGGCCUUCUACGUCUCGUAGGAUCCAUGGGCCUUACGUCUCGUAGUGUCCAUGGGCCUUCUACGUCUCGCAAUGUCCAUGGGCCUUCUACGUCACAUAGGAUCCAUGGGCCGCCGACUCAUUUAUGGGUCUUGUACUGGCCUUUAAUGGGUCGUAGACGGGCCUAUAAUGGAAAUCGUACGUUUUAUUGGCUGACCAUAACGGGCCGUUAAUAGGCCGUAUUUGCUGAUGCUAUGAAAAUGGCCCAACGGACUAACGGACCACAAACGGACCGACUGUAAUGAAGGGUUGAAUUUGGCCCACAAGCAGAAAAUGACAGUAACGGGCCGUAAGUAACCGAAUGCUGCAAAUAAGCCCAAGAAUAAAUGGGCUCUGAGAAGGCCGAAAGAUAACAUGGGUUGUAAACGGCCCAACUGAAUAACGGUCCCUUAAUGGGUAUAAAGCGAUACACUAUUCAUUACGGGCCAGUUUCACCACGGGCCGUUAAUGGGUCUAAAGUAAUACACUGUUCAUCGCGGGCCAGUUUCACCACGGGCCGUUAAUGGGCCAAGAGUUACAUAGGGCCUCAUAUGGGCCGAAAGACGUCUUGGGCCAUACAUGGGCCAGAAGUGAAAGUGGGCUGGAAUCAUAUUGGAUGGCCCAGAUGACCCUACUGGGCCUAAUUCGGAUAGGGCGUAACGGGCCUUGGGUUAGCGGGUUGUAAAUGGGCUAUAUGCGAACAUGCCGCUAACAGGCUUUCCAUGGGCCGGCCCAUCACCUUUUGACCAAGUCAAACGGGCCGGCCUUUUCACAGGAAUGGGCCUCUGUUGGGUCGUGCCACGUGUCGACGUAUCAUAGGCGCCUUCUAUCCAAUGAGUGGAUGACAUCUGUCCCAACAAUGAGCCGACACAUGUUUCCUCCAGCCAAUGAUGAUUUUACACGUGGAAAAUCCCCAUUGGUCGGGGCUAUUAACGGGUUAUCGGAUCCAAAACCUGACCCAAUAGCUUAACGGUGUUCCGUUAAGGUGGAUGCCACGUGUCGGUCACCCUUGACGAAAGCACUUCUGUGACGCACGAUUUAUUGUCAUGGGAGUGGACACUUCCAUGAUGAUAAUUUUGGUAAUGUCAUCGAACACUUCUACGACAGCACAGGUAUGACUAUCUCAAUUCUGUCAUAAAUUUGUCAUGGAUGUACAUGCAUGACAAAAAAUGCGACCUACUCUGACAAAUACGUAUCAUUACGGAAGUGUAUUUUUUUUGUAGUGAUAGCAGUUGCAGGUUUAGGUGUCGCAAGCCUACUAAUAACGGAAGGAGAAUCUAGUGCAGAGCUAGAUGGCAAUUCCUUACCUCCCCUCGUAGUUGAGGGUAAAAUAGUAGUUCGGUCGUCUUUCAAGUUCUUCAUAGUGAUCAACAGAUAUAAAUACCAAGUGACUCAGAGAAUAGAGCUAUGCUCCCCGGUAACAGCGCCAUAAAUUAGUCUUGAUAACCCACACGUGUAGGGGAUCGCAACAGCUUUCGAGGGUAAAGUAUUCAACCCAAAUUUAUUGAUUUGACACAAGGGGAGCCAAAGAAUAUUCUUGAGUAUUAGCAGUUGAGUUGUCAAUUCAACCACACCUGGAUAACUUAGUAUCUGCAGCAAAGUAUUUAGUAGAAAAGGUGGUAUGAUAAUAAAGGUAACGGUAACAAAAGUAAAGAUAAAUGUUUUUGGGUUUUUGUAGUAGUUGUAACAGUAGCAACGGAAAAGUAAAUAAGCGAAGAACAAUAUGUGAAAAGCUCGUAGGCAAUGGAUCAGUGAUGGAUAAUUAUGCCGGAUGCGAUUCCUCAUGCAAUAGUUAUAACAUAGGGUGACACAGAACUAGCUCCAAUUCAUCAAUGUAAUGUAGGCAUGUAUUCCGUAAAUAGUCAUACAUGCUUAUGGAAAAGAACUUGCAUGACAUCUUUUGUCCUACCCUCCCGUGGCAGCGGGGUCCUUACGAAAACUAAGGGAUAUUAAGGCCUCCUUUUAAUAGAGAACCGGAACAAAGCAUUAGCACAUAGUGAAUGCAUGAACUCCUCAGACUACGGUCAUCACCGAGAAGUAUCCCGAUUAUUGUCACUUCGGGGUUGUCGGAUCAUAACACAUAAUAGGUGACUAUAGACUUGCAAGAUAGGAUCAAGAACACACAUAUAUUCAUGAAAACAUAAUAGGUUCAGAUCUGAAAUCAUGGCACUCGGGCCCUAGUGACAAGCAUUAAGCAUAGCAAAGUCAUAGCAACAUCAAUCUCAGAACAUAGUGGAUACUAGGGAUCAAACCCUAACAAAACUAACUUGAUUACAUGGUAAAUCUCAUCCAACCCAUCACCGUCCAGCAAGCCUACGAUGGAAUUACUCAAGCACGGCGGUGAGCAUCAUGAAAUUGGUGAUGGAGGAUGGUUGAUGAUGACGACAGUGAUGAAUCCCCCUCUCCGGAGCCCCGAACGGACUCCAGAUCAGCCCUCCUGAGAGAGAUUAGGGCUUGGCAGCGGCUCCGUGUCGUAAAACGCGAUGAAACUUUCUCUCCGAUUUUUUUAUCCCCGAACGUGAAUAUAUGGAGUUGGAGUUGAGGUCGGUGGAGGUCCAUGGGGCCCACGAGAUAGGAGGGCGCGCCCUAGGGGGGCGCCCCCUGUCUCGUGGACAGCCUUUGGGCCCCCUGGUGUUGAUUCUUUCGCCAAAAGUUCUUAUUAAUUCCAAAAGGUGCCUUUGUGGAUUUCCAGGACAUUCCAAGAACUUUUCUUUUCUACACAUAAAACAACAUCAUGGCAGUUCUACUGAAAACAACGUCAGUCCGGGUUAGUUUCAUUCAAAUCAUGCAAGUUAGAGUCCAAAACAAGGACAAAAGUGUUUGGAAAAGUAGAUACGUUGGAGACGUAUCACUGCUCAAGCCUUUUUGUGGAGAGCCACCGGCAGCUCCACCAGCGCUUCCUCCGACCGCCAAUGGACGUCUUCUUCCGGAGCCACAGAAGGUGUUGAAGGCGCAAGUUCGUCCCGGGUGUGGUUCGUCUUGAUCCAGUGGGCAGGUCUUCUGGUGGAGGAGGCUACUUGGGAGCCACGUGAGGACUUCUGCCACCACUAUCCAGACUUUCAGCUCGAGGACAAGUUGUUUGUGCAGGCGGGGAGAGAUGUUAUGACCGGUUUACAGUAUAACCAGAGGAGGCCCGCUGGGCAGUAGAUUAGGGGCUUGGCCCACAAGUUAUCUUAGGCUAGUCAUUUUGAGGUUAUAAAUAUUAGAUUGUAAGAUACCUUUUUCAGAUUAAGCAAUAAAGAUAGUUCUAUCAUAUUAUCCGGCUCCACAGGAGCCGGAAACCCUAGCCGCACCUUGCCCUAGCCGCCGCCGUCUUUCUUCUUCCUCAUGACGGCGCCAACACACCGGAGCCGCCGCCCUCGCCCCCAACCAUCGCUAUCCUGCCCCUACAACCUAAGGAACCGAGUCGGUAGGAACCCUAGUCCUACCAGAUUCAUUCUCUUUCAUCAGUCAUUUUAGAAUUCUUAUGGUGGUUCAUUCAAGAUUCUUUUUCCUUGAUUAUCAUUUUAAUUCAUUCAUUCUUUUCAAUCCUACCGGUGGUUCAUGAAGACCUUCUCAAGUUUGCGACAUGUCACUUCUCAAUCCUUUUCAACAAGAAUAAGUAGUAUGCAAAAAUUUGUUUAUCAUCAAUUAAAUUUGGUGAAGGAUAAGCAUACAAUAAAUCUUAUUCUUAUUCCAUCCAAGUGAGUAAUCCCUUCCUUCAGAGUUUGUUCUUGAUGAAUAAAUUCUAGUUCCAAGUGUUUUCAUCUUUUCUUUUCCGGAGUUCAAAUUUCCUCGCCCAUUUCGUCGAAACCUCCAUCUAAAUCACCGCAAGGCUCAUCUUAUUCUUUCUUCCUCCAUUCUAUCUCAUCACCCUUUUGUCACCGGAGUUCUUCUUGGUGGUUCUUCAUGAUUUAAUUCAUUCUUUAAGAGUUCAUCAAGAUUAUUGUUGGAGGAGCACAAAUAUCUUUUCCUCUUGCGUCUCGAAGUGCAAUUAAUUCUCCGUAUUCCUUUUGAAGUGGAGUUUUGCAUUUCUUCAUUCUUCUCAACUAUUCACACUCUUGAUUGUGGCAGAAUUUCACCUCAAGUUUUGAGAUGUUUUUGAUAAGUCCACAACAAGCUUAUUCUUUUGUUGUUGAUUUUCUCAACAACUCCGUUCAACCCUUCCUUCUAAAUUCUUUUCAUUCAAUUCUCUCAAUUCUUCCGGAGACAUUGUGUUGCUUAUGUCGUCAAGUGUCAUCCCAUCUUGUGAAGUUCAUGUUCCAUUCCUUCCAUUUUCAGUAGGAGUAUUGCCCAAAUUCUUUUAUUCAUUCCUUUUCUAUCUUGUUCUAAUCGGAGUGGUUUCAGAGUUUGUCUUCUUCUUGAGCUUUUCAUUCUCGUCAUAUUCGCCGUUCAUUUUUUCUAACCGAGUGUUCUCGACUUUGUUCAUCUUCUCUCUUGUGUUCUUACUUCACCUCUUCCUCUUUCUUUUCCGUCUCGUUCCUAAGAUCUCGAGACGAGAUCUCUUGUUAGUGGAGGAGUGUUGUAACGCCCCGGAUCCGGUGUGCCAGGUGUCUUCCAGUUAUUCGCCUUCGUUGCCAUGUCAUUUGCUUGUGUGUUGCAUUUUGCCAUGUCAUCAUCUGCAUUUCAUCUGCAUGUUUUCCAAAACUUGCAUCCGUUCAGGUUCCCCUGGUUCUCUCCAUUGUCCGUUCGGAGUACAUACCUCUCGCGCACGCUCGUCGCCUCUCUCAGACCUUGUUUCAUGAGCGGGGGGGAUGCUCUCGGAAUGGGAUGAAACUUGGCGUGCGGUGUUGUUUUAGAGUAGGUAGACCGCCUGCCAAUUUUCGUUCCAUUUGGAGGUCGUUUGAUGCCCCAACGGUUAACCGCGUAGCUCGAAAUCCCCUUCUCUUUGCAGCCUAGCCCCUCUUCACCACAGCCCAUGAGCCCAUCCAAACCCCCUCCAUGCUCUCGGUCGUUCGAUCACGAUCGUGUGGGCGAAAACCGCACCCCAUUUGGACACUCCUAGCUCCCUCUACCUAUAAAAACACAUCCUCUCCCGAAUUUUGCGAAUGAAUCAUACCCUAACCCUAGCCUCUUCCUCCUCUCGCCGCCGGACGUGUCCACCCCAUGUCGGACGUGUUCGCCCGCCGACGCCGCCUCCUCCUCUCAGCGCCUCCGCCCGCUACCCUCGACUAGCCACCGCCCGAAGCUCCCCGCCGCCUCCUCGCUUGUCGGGCUCAGGCGUCGCCCGCGCACCGUCCCUUGCCGGCUUGCUCUGCCUCGCGCCGGUCCCCUCCGGCCUGGAUCCUGCGGGAUCCGGCCGGAUCUCGCACCACCCGGCCACCUCGACCUCCCCGACGGCCUCCUCCGCCCGCGUCUCCGGCCGCCAUCGUCAACUCCGGCGAGGUCCGUGGAUCGGGAUCAGAUCCACCACCUCAACGAUCCAAACGCCUCCCCCACGCCCUGGAGCCCUCCGUCCCGCUCGUCCUUGUCUCGGGUUGACUUUUUGCGAGGGUAAAUUUCCACUAUCAUUUUUCUGUGAUAUUUUUAUGCCCUGUUUGUCAUCCCAUAACUUCAUGUGUGCUACAUUGUUUCAUGCAUAUGUUAUAUCAAAAUGUUCAUUGGGAGAUACUCUUUAUUUCAUUCCAUUGUCCCAUGCUUGUUUGAGUUCAUCUUAAUUCCCUUAUCAUCGUUGCAAGAGUGGUAUAUGAUGUUAACUGUUGUCUGUUACCAGAACUUGCUGUUUUGUCUUUUUCAUUGCAUUUUGUGUGUGCAUCCUAUGAGCUUGAUGUCUACAUGAGUUUUGAGCUACAUCAUGUCAUAUUUACAAUGGUUCAAUCCAUGUAUUUUUGUGAGUCUUGUAGUGAGUGCACCGAGCUUGUGAAGUAGGGUACUUGCUGUUACUGUUUUGCUAGGCUGAAUCUGCUAUAUCAUGAUGCUAUGUAGACUUGUUGCUACAAGUCAUUCUAUGCAUAACCUGGAGAUGUUCACUAAGGAUGUUUUGAUUUACAUGUCAUGCUCUAUCCAACCAUGACCCUUGUCGCAUUUAUAGCCUGCUGUAGCUUGUUGUAAUCUUGCUCCAAACUUGCUAAACAAUGUUGCUGUCAGCUUGUUAACAUUAUGUUCAGUUUUGGCCAUGUGUUUUGCUAGUGAUCCAUGCACCCUAUGAACUUGCUCUUACCAUUCUUCGCUUUAUAAAUAUGUCUUAUUACUGUUGGUCACCUUGUCAUGACAUGUGUUGCUCUGUGGUGAGUUGUACAAGCUCACCAACAUUCCUACUUAUUGUUGUUCCUGCCAUGUACUGCUAUCCUGAAUCUGUCAUAUCAUUUGCCAUGUUUGUAUGGAUGCUACCAUCUUUUCUGUUGAUAUUUGGAAUUAGUUCAGUAACGGAGAUUUGUUCUUUGUCUUUAUUAUUAGCAUUCCAUGCAUUUGUUUGCCAUGUUUAGUUUCUGUAACAUGUUGUUUGAUAGCUCUAAAAAUUGCAACCUGAUGUUAUUUCUGCCAUGUCCAGUGAUUUCUGCUAAGUCUGUGAACUGUUAUUAUUUGCAAUCUUGCCAUGACCUUUUGAGCAUGUUCUAGUGAUUUCUGGAGAUAUCUCAGUGUUCAUGUUUUGUCAUGCUUUACAUGUACAUAAUGCCCAUGCCUUUUGUUCUUAUGUUGAGCUGCUGUAGCAUAUUUGUUUGAUGCUUGCUAGAUGCCUAUUUGUUGUUUUGGACAGCUUGUCCUUUAAACUUGUUUCAUGUGUAUGUGUUAAACCGUUGCUCCGUUUUGAGUGUGCUCUAUAUGAAACUUGCUUGGAAUUUCAUGUAGUUUCAUAUUAUCAUGUUGCAUCCUUGUUUUGAGGUGUUUGCUUGAUGUUUGGAUGUAUUUUGCAUCAAUGUCAUGUUUAACUUGUUUUGCUCAUAUCUUCUAGGCCGUAGCUCCGAACUAAAUGAACUUUAUAUGUAACUUGACUAGAAUUUCGUGUAGAUCAUCUUGGUGCAUCUUAACUUGCUGUUUAACAACUCGAACAUAAGGUUUAUUCAGAUCUGGACCAAUUCCUAAAUUUGCAUAUGAGGACUUGCCGGAUUUGUUAUAUGUUGUUUCUGGCCUCAUUUAAACUUGCUUUGAUGUGUUGCUCUUGUAUGCAUCAUCUCUUGCCAUGAGUAGCCUCAUAUAGCCUUUGUCAUGCAUAAUGUUUGGUUGUGUGUCAUGCCAUGUCUAUGUGUUGUGUGUUUACCUUGUUGUUUGCUUCUUUCCGGUUGUGCUCCUUCUCGUUAGUUCCUGUUUUGUUGCGAUCGUGAGGAUUCGUUCGUCUACGCUUGGUUCGUCUUCGUGGCUUCAUCUUCUUCAUGGACUCGUUCUUCUUCCUAGCGGGAUUUCAGGCAAGAUGACCGUCACCUUGGAUCUCACCACUAUCAUUGCUAUGCUAGUUGCUUCGUUCUAUCGCUAUGCUGCGCUACCUAUCAUUUGCUCUUCAAGCCUCCCAAAUUGCCAUGUCAGCCUCUAACAUUUUCACCCUUCCUAGCAAACCGUUGCUUGUCUAUGUUACCGCUUUGCUCAGCCCCUCUUAUAGCAUUGUUAGUUGCAGGUGAAGUUGAAGAUUGCUCCAUGAUGGACAUGAUUAUGUUGGGAUAUCACAAUAUCUCUUAUUUAAUUAAUGCAUCUAUAUACUUGGUAAACGAUGGAAGACUCGGCCUUAUGCCUGGUGUUUUGUUCCACUCUUGCCGCCCUAGUUUCCGUCAUACAGGUGUUAUGUUCCUUGAUUUUGCAUUCCUUACGCGGUUGGGUGAUUUAUGGGACCCCCUUGACAGUUCGCUUUGAAUAAAACUCCUCCAGCAAGGCCCAACCUUGGUUUUACGAUUUGCCUACCUAAGCCUUUUUCCCUUGGGUUUCCAGAGCCCGAGGNNNNNNNNNNNNNNNNNNNNNNNNNNNNNNNNNNNNNNNNNNNNNNNNNNNNNNNNNNNNNNNNNNNNNNNNNNNNNNNNNNNNNNNNNNNNNNNNNNNNNNNNNNNNNNNNNNNNNNNNNNNNNNNNNNNNNNNNNNNNNNNNNNNNNNNNNNNNNNNNNNNNNNNNNNNNNNNNNNNNNNNNNNNNNNNNNNNCGGGGGCCAGUGCUCCUUCGAGUGUUGGUCCGAACUAGAGCCACUUGCAGCGCCACCUCGGGGAAACUUGAGGGCUGGUUUUAGUUGUACAUAGUGUUCAUCCGGUGUGCCCUGAGAACGAGAUAUGUUCAGCUCCUAUCGGGAUUUGUCGGCACAUCGGGCGGCUUUGCUGGUCUUGUUUUACUAUUGUCGAAAUGUCUUGUAAACCGGGAUUCCGAGACUGAUCUGGUCUUCCUGGGAGAAGGAAUAUCCUUCGUUGACCGCGAGAGCUUGUGAUGGGCUAAGUUGGGACACCCCUGCAGGGUAUAAACUUUUGAGAGCCAUGCCCGCGGUUAUGUGGCAGAUGGGAAUUUGUUAAUAUCCGGUUGUAGAUAACUUGACGCCAGAUACGAAUUAAAACGCAUCAACCGCGUGUGUAGUCGUGAUGGUCUCUUUUCAACGGAGUCCGGCAAGUGAACACGGUUUUGGGUUAUGUUUGGCGUAAGUAGGAGUUCAGGAUCACUUCUUGAUCAUUGCUAGCUUCACGACCAUUUCGUUUGCCUCUCUUCUCGCUCUUAUUUGCGUAUGUUAGCCACCAUAUUUGCUUAGUCGCUGCUGCAACCUCACCACUUAUCCUUUCCAUUCCCAUUAAGCUUUGCUAGUCUUGAUACCCAUGGUAAUGGGAUUGCUGAGUCCUCGUGGCUCACGGAUUACUACAACAACAGUUGUAGGUGCAGGUUAUGCGAUGAUCAUGACGCAAGAGCAAUGUUUAGUUGUUUGGAGUUCUUCUUCUGCUUCUUUGAUCAGGGGAUAGGUUCCAGGUCGGCAGCCUGGGCUAGCAGGGUGGAUGUCAUUUGAGUUUCUGUUUGUGUUUCAUCCGUAGUCGGAUGUUGAUCUUACGUAUGAUGUAUUGAUGUAUUCUUGCGGCAUUUGUAUGCCUUGUAUGUAUCCCCAUCUUUUAUGUAAUGUUGAUGUAAUGAUAUCCACCUUGCAAAAGCGUCUCAAUCUGCGGUUCUAUCCUUGGUGGGACCUUCGAGUUUCUUUAGGAUAGUAUCGCAUAUUGGGCGUGACAGAAGGGGGAAUGAGCGAGACAGAUGCUAGGGUUUUGGUGGAUGCCUUUGUAGGCCGAGGGGGGCACGUGGAGGCCAUCCACGUCCAUGGUGCCAUGGAUGCACGCCACGCCCAGGCCUCUGCCUCCCCACAGUACAGAGGUGGGGGAGAGGCUGUCGUGGGCUGGGCUUUGGGGCACUGUGGACACUUGAGCCCAUAUGCACAAUAGUUCAUGUCCUUUUCCUUUUAUUCUUUUACAUUUUUGUUUUAUUUAUUUCUUUUCUACUUUGCAUUUUAUUUUAAAACCAAUUGACUUUUGUUGAAUUUGAAAAUUGGCACAUAAAUAUGAGACAACAUUUUGAGCCAUCACAAAUAGUUUCAAUUUAUCUUGAAAUGUUUAACUAUUUGUUUAAAUCAAAAAAGCUCAAUUUAAUAGUGUUAGUUCUGUUUUAAAUGAAGAUAAGGGAGUUUUAAUAAGAAGAAGAAAUAUUGGUUUCUUCAUGAAAAUUAGUUAGUGAAUAAUUGCAACCCAACGAACAUUUUAAAUUUACUUUUUGAAGAAUUACAAAUUUGACUUGUAUUUAAAUUUGAAUUUGACUUAGGUUUUAACAAGGAGAGAUUAAGCUUAGCAAAAUGGGAUGGUGUGGCAUCAUUAGUCAGGUAUUCAUUGCAGCAUAAUUAUCGGGGUGUUACACCUGCAUUCAGCGGGCCAUAAUUGGGCCGGCCCGCAACAAGCUGUACUAGGGCCUGCUGCGGAGCUGCUGUAUGGGCCCUUCAUAGACACUGUAUGACUAGGCUCAUAACUCUAAUGGGCCUUUAGCAUGCCCAAAUUUAGUUCAGCCGAUGUAGCUUUGGAUCAUUAACAAGCUGAAUAUUCUGCUGGCAUGUGUUGGCCCAAAAGACACCAUGGGCCUUUAGCAGGCCGAGAAGCAUGUUGGGCCUCAAUUUUUAAGAGUAGUCCAUGGGCCUUUAGUAGGCUGAAAUAAACAUCGAGCCAAUAUAGGCCUAGUUACAUUACGGGUCAUUAUCAGGCCGAAACAUACCUCGGGCCUUGGUUUUCCCAAUCAUCUCAUAGGCCUUUAGUAGGCCAAAAGCUCUGUAGAGGCACCAACGGGCCGAAAUGUAAGACACGCCUUUAAUAGUCCCAAAGUCAGGUUGGGCUGAAGUGUUGCCACCGAGAUCACGGGUCAUUAACCGGCCAAAUGUCACGUCAGACCAUAAAUGGUCCAUGUGCAACACAGGCCAUUACCAGGCCAAAAGACACACCAUGCUGAAAUGGGCCAUUUCUACAUCGGGACUCUAACAGGCCGAAAACACAUUGGGCCAUAAUGGGGUCCAAAGACUAAGCGAACAAUUAAUGGGCCGGAUUUGGUGGUGGGCCAUAAAUGGGUCAACCCACUAGUACCUGAGCGAAGCUUAUGGGCCUUUGACUGGGCCAGCCUUUUUAACCUAAAUGGGCCAAUGUUGGGUCGUGCCACAUAUCAUUUUUUCAUAGGCCCAUCUCGUCCAAGGAUGAAUGACAUCCAUCGUGACGUCGAACUUAUACGUGGUUCCUUUGGCCAAUGAGAAUUUUACACGUGAAAAAUUGCCCUUGGCCUGGGCUGUUAGCGGGUUAUCGGAUCCAAAACCAGACCCGAGAGUUUAACGGUGACCCAUUACAGUGGAUGCCACGUGUCGGUUACCCUUGGCAAAAGCACUUUGAUGACGCACCAUUUAUCAUCAUGGAAGUGGACACUUCCGUGAUGAUAAUUUGAGUAUUGUCAUGGAACACUUCUACGACAACACAUGUAUAACUAUCUUGAUUCCGUCAUAAAAUCGUCACGAAUGUACAUGCAUGACAGAAAACAUGACCUACUAUGACAAACACGUAUCAUCACAGAAGUGUUUUUUUGUAGUGGUGUGUGCUGGCACUGCUCCUCAACAGAAAGCAAGAGAAGGUAUUGUUUUCAAGAUGGCCUAAGGUAUGAGCGCAGUCAGUCGUACCAACCUUGACUUCAGUGACAGGUUUGAAAAAUAAGAGCUUGUGGCGACCAGUGGCACAAGCAGUGAUACGCCUGCACGCGGCCGUACCAAAGGUCAUCGAUCGAUAUUUUUUCUUGAUUCUUUCCGGAUUUUGUUUUGAUUUUCUUCUAACUUCGUCUCUAAGAUUGAUCCUCUAACCAUUAUUUAAGGCCAAGGGUUACGUCCCUUCACUCAAUAUCAAUCUAAUCUCGAGUCCUUUUUGCAUGACACCUCUUCACCAAACCUUGUUCUACAAGAUAAACAAACCGGUCACCGCCAUGAGAAAUGGAUCUUCCCCAACUUCCAUCAAGAUCAUCUCCUUCCCAAGCUUGGAGGAGGUCGUCCUGAUGGGAUGGGAGGAUCCUAGAAAAAUGAGCCUAAAGGAGGAGAUGCCGGAGGAGGUGGAGACUAGCAAGGGGAAGAUCAUCGAGGAAGAGAAGGAAAAGAAGAAGAAGAAGUUUAACAUCCGAGGAUCUAUUCAUCUAUCUCCUCUUGGGCCGGAACCACGUGAGUGGGGAAAGGAACAGCCGUCCCCUGACGCGAUAAGCGGAAAGAUCAAGCAGCUCGAGAAAGUCUCUAAGGCAUGACUUGACACUAUUGGUGAGGGGAUCGAUUCUUAUUGGAUGAUUAGCAAAGACAUGAAAGGUAGGGUCGACGGUCUCUUCCAUACCAUAGAGGGUUGGGUGGUGGAGAUAUUUGGGAUCAACCAAACUCGUAAUUUCAUAACACUCUAAAUGUGGUUGUGCUCAACUUUCAAGUGAUGUAGACUGUUAGAUCCACAUAGUUUGACAACUAAGAUAGCUUGGAAUUGACCAAUUUUUGCUUUUGUGUAAUUUAUAUAAAAAUAGUAUUUGUAUCAUCAAACUUGCAAGUUUAAUCAUCAGUGGAACUUAACGUAAUAAGGUAAGGGCAUCUACUUCUUUUAGUCAUCCUUGAAACUCCACUAAAACACAUUUGUAUCACAAACUUCCAUGCUUUAUUCCCAUUUAUUUUUGUCAGCAAAAAAAUUAAAAAUUACUAUUACAAGUUUCAAUAGUACAGCCACAAUAGAGCAUAGUACCAACGCAAGUGAGACCUGGAUUUGUAGGAUCAUUGCAAAUAAAUUCGUAGCAACAAGUUUUUUGUGCACAACUUCUGCAUGGUGUGCACCGUCUUGAAACGGUUCUUUGAGGCAAAUAGGUCCCUUGGACAAUUGUCUUCCUGUCACGUACUGAGUUGUCAGUUGCGACACUUUCUGUUGCUCCUGUUCAUCAUGCACAUCAUAUAUUUAUGUUAAUUUGAAAUAUAAUGAUAAACGGCAGUGGCAUCUCUUUUUAUAGCAUGAGAAUCUAAAUAAGAACUCAUAAGUCCAACCAACAGAACUCCAUUUUUUUACUCAUUUUUGUGUGCAAGAAUAUAUAUACCCCGUUUUAGCGGAUUGUCUAAGUACACAGCGACUUUUUCUAGAUAUAUUCAUGCUUAAUAAAUAUAAAGUUAACAUUUCUUAAGCAAUAAAUGGUAAGUGAUUACCAAACUUUAUGAACAUUGAGCAACAUGUAAAUAACCAUGGGUGUACAAUGUUUGAACUUUGUCAGCCUGUAUAAUAAUAGGUUUUGCUUGGCCUUUUAGGCUAUUAUUAUUACUAAUCUACCAUAAAAGAUGUUAAAACUCGAGAUUUUUGUACCAGUAGCGGAUAUGUAGAUGAGGGUACCUAGUACUUGCAUAAGGCAUAUUUGAACCAAAUAUUCCACGCCUUAUGUCUAUAUUGGGGUAGGAUUGAUAUACGAAUUUGGUAAAAGUCCACUUCUUUUUGUAGAUCUAUCACUCCACCAAUAUGAUGUCUAUACAUACCUUGGGCUUGGAAGUGGACACUGAGAAUAGAAAGGAUGACAAGGGUGACAAACAUAUGUGAGUAUGUCGCCAUGGGUAUCUAAUAAGAGAGAUCACUUCGGGGUUUGUUUUGUGCUCUGAAUGGGUAGAAACAUUGGACGGGUGAGGAAAAUAUAUAGGCGGGUGUAGAUGCAUAUCAAGGCAUGCAUUUAUGAUAUUAUUAAUUUAAUUAAUUUGUUGGCAUUAAAUCCCUUCUUGAGAUAUUGCGUUCCUUCCUACUCGGUGCAGGAUAUUGCAUUUUGGAGCAAGUAUUCAUUGCCCACAUUUAUAUUCUCUGAUCUUUCUCUGAUACUAAGAUAAACGUAACCAGAAAAAAUUGGGAGCUAUACAUUUAAUCUCGACAAUGCAGUGGUUGGAUGGUUAGGUCGACAGUGGUAUCUAGGGUUGAAGUCCUGGUGCUCGCAUUCAUUCCUGGAUUUAUUUCAGGAUUUUCGGCGAUGCGUGUUUAGUGGGAGGAGACGUUCCCGUCGACUACAAGGCCCCUUUGUGACUUCGUCAAUCUCAGAAUGAUAUACCGGUUUAGUCUCUCGGAGGUGCUCAUAGAUAUAGGGUGCGCGUGUUUAUUCAUAGGGAUGAGUGUAUACGUGUAUAUAUGAGCAUUUGCGUUUGUAUUGUGUUAAAAACAAUGCACUCUAAGAGGCUCUACCAUUUUGUUUUAUUUUUAUGGUAGACUGUAGCAUUUAGACUGGUAGGCAAGUUACCUGUCAUAUAUUUUAUGCACUAAGACCUUGAGAUCUAUGGGCUGACUAUUUAAUUAUUAAUGCAAAUCAUAAGAAAAGGUAUGGAGCAUGCUGGGAACCCUCAGGGGCAUGAUAUGGUUAGAAUGACUAGUGGACCCGUUGUGUCAAAUGGCGCAGAUGCGCGCUAGUACGUGAUGAAAAAUAUAUUCAUGAUUUAAUCCCCUUUAAUAGGAAACACGGCGGAUUGUUAUCUAUAAUGANNNNNNNNNNNNNNNNNNNNNNNNNNNNNNNNNNNNNNNNNNNNNNNNNNNNNNNNNNNNNNNNNNNNNNNNNNNNNNNNNNNNNNNNNNNNNNNNNNNNNNNNNNNNNNNNNNNNNNNNNNNNNNNNNNNNNNNNNNNNNNNNNNNNNNNNNNNNNNNNNNNNNNNNNNNNNNNNNNNNNNNNNNNNNNNNNNNNNNNNNNNNNNNNNNNNNNNNNNNNNNNNNNAUUUUUUCUUCUCAGAAACGAAAAGUCCUUCUCCUUUAACCCUAUCUCAGCAGAGACAAUGAUCCCCACCGCGGGAGCUAUUUCUCGCAUUCAGCGAGCCUAAACACUUCUCUGGCUGAAUCAUUCCGACUAAUCGAGCUGGCCUACUAGCGCACAGUAAAUAAAAAAAACUAUGAAUUGAAGCAUUCCAACUAAUCGGGUCGGACCACUAGCGCACAGUACACAUAAAAACUUUGAAGAAAAUGGAUUCGAACCGUGCUUGCUUCGAUCAAGAGUAGAGGCCACUCUGAACUUAGUGUUCACAUACGAGGUGCACUCUACUUGAGGUAAAACACCGGAGUUUGUUUUUAUUUCUCUAGUUUUCCUCUCUUUUUUUGUUUCUUUGUUUGGUUUUCUUAUUUUUCUCCGGUUUUCUUUCAUUAGCCAUUAUAAUUCGGUCCUUUUUUUUGUUUUUUCCAUUGAUUUUCUGUUUUCAAUGCUUUUCUCCGUUUUCUUUUCUUUUUCCCUUUUUUUCUCUGGUUUUUGUUUUGUUUUCAUUUUUUAUUCUUUCUACAUUUGUUUAUUCAGUUCUUUUUAAUUUGUGGGGGUUUAGUUUGUUUGUUUUUUGUUUUUGGUUUUUGGUUUUCUUUCGUUUCUUUUGUUUUUUAUUCUACAUUUUUUGUAUGUCAAAAACAUUUUUUAAUAAGUGAUCAACAUUUUUGUUAUACACGUUCAACAUUGCCUGAACGUUUAAUCAACAUUUUUCAAAUACUAGUUCAACAUUUUAAUACUUAUUCAACACUUUUUAAUACUCGUUCAACAUUUUUUAAUACUUACUCAAUAUUUUUUAAUACUUAUUCAACAUUUUUCAAAUACUGGUUUAACAUUUUUCAAAUACUCGUUCAAAACAAUUUAUACUUGUUCAACAUUUUUCAAUACUUUUUCAAUAUUCUCAAAUACUUGUUCAUCAUUUUUCAAAUUCUUGUUUAACAUUUUCUUAUAUUUAUUCAACAUUUUCAAAUGCAGGUUUAACAUUUUUCAUAUACUCAUUCAAAAAAAUUAAUACUUGUUCAACAUUUUCUAAUACUCGUUCAACAUUUUUCAAAUUCUUGUUCAACAUUUUCUAAUACUUAUUCAACAUUUUUCAAAUACUUGUUCCACAUUUUAUAAAAAAAAUCAACAUUUUUCAAUACUUGUUCAACAUUUCUUAAAUACAUGAUCAGCCUUUUUCAUACACAUUUGUAUUUUACUGUAUAACUUUUGUGCAUAGAUUAAAACGAUUUUCAUGUAUGCACUCAAAAUUUAUUAUCAAAUGCUUAGUUAACAUUUUUUAAAUGUUUUUUACUUUAAUUGACAGUUAGUUCAUCAUUUCUCAGUCUGUUGAUACAUCACGUCCUAGGUCGAUGGUGCGAUGGCUAGCAUCAGGCGCUCCUCGCGAAGCGAGCAGGGUUCGAAUCUAGUUCCUGUUUUCUCUUAGGCCAACUCCAGCGCGCGACCCCAUCUUGUUCGGGUGCGUCUGUUCGGGGUAGAAUGGAUGAAUAGCGCGGCCCUAAACGGUCAAAUGUCUGGAUUUCGUUCGUUUUCGACCCAUUCCCGACCCAAACUGGCGCCGAGUUUGGGGUGAAACGGACAUCACGCGGACGGGCUCGACGCACGCCCUUGACCCCCGUAGCCCGUCUGUCAGGGACACUAGCAGUCUCUUCGCUUCCAACGCCUCCACCAGCUCCCCCCCACCCUGCCGCCGGCGCCGCCACUAUUCUUCAGCCGCCUCCUCACUGCUCACCCCUCCCACCGUCCAUACCAAACCACGUCUCGACAUGACCGCCAUCAAACCAGUACAACAAGGGAUACUACCUAGCUGAUGGUAUAUAUCCUCAGUGGUCAACUUUUGUGAAGACAAUCUCAAACCCCCAAGGUGAGAAGAGAAAGAGAUUUGCCUAAAUGCAAGAGAGUGCUAGAAAGGAUGUGGAACGUGAUUUUGGUGUGCUUCAAUCCCGAUGGGGUAUCGUUCAAAACACUGCACUGACAUGGGAUGAAGGGAAACUUUGGGAGGUGAUGACUGCUUGUGUGAUCAUGCACACCAUGAUCGUCGAGGACGAGCAUGAUGACAGGAUCUUCGACCAAGUAUUUGAUUUUCAAGAUGAAAAUGUUGAGCCCCUGCACCAAGAACCGGCCACAUUUGAACAGUUUGUCCAUUUUCAUCUUGAAAUGCGUGAUUAGCACACUCAUUUGGAUCUUCAAAAUGACUUGGUUGAGCAUGCGUGGACUCACGUUGGCAACGAAUAGAUGUAUUGAUUCAUUAUGUUCAUUCAAGACAAUUUUAUUUGGUUGUAAAAUAUUUUAUUAGAGACAAUUUCGAUUGUGUUGUAAAACUAUUUUUAUUUUCAGACAAUUAAUAUUUGGACAUGCAAACUUGUUUUGAACAUUGAAAUAUGAAUAUAUGGGCAUUUUUGGCUGUGGCGGACAAGAUGGGGCCGAAGGAUGCGUCCGCGCGCUGGGCGCACGGCCACCGCAUCCCAGGACAGACCCGGGCACGACCCCAUUGCCCUACCCAAACGGACAGAAUCCGGGCAAAAUGGAUGUCCGUUUGGGUCGUGCGCUGGAGUUGGCCUUAUACAACUCAUUGCUUUUAAUUUCCUAUUGAUAAUUUAGAUGGUUCAUAUUUUUAAAACCAAAAAUUAAAUUUUGAAACUUUUUAUAUAUUUGAACUCAUGAUUUCAAGAUCUUUAGAACAAGCUUAAUUUUGGAUAUUUUUUAACAUGUUCGAAUCCAUUUAUUUCACACAAUAUGUUUCAAUUAUUUCAGAAGAACUAUUUAUUUCAAUUAUUUUGAACCACUAAUUUCCAUUGAUUUUCUGAAAUACAAUUUCAAUCAUUUCACUCGUUGUAAAACGCCUAUUUCACACAUUAGAAACAUAUAUUUUCAGUUGUUCCAAAAGAAUUGGCUCCCUAACUUCUGAAAACCGAUUUCACUCAUUUCGAAAAGUUCAUUUCUUUAUGUUCAGAAAAUCAAUUUCACUCAUUAGAAGAAACUGAUUUCACUCAUUUUACAAACAUGUUUAACCUAGUCAAAACACUGGUUUCACUCAUUCCAAAAAAUAUAUUUAAAUCGUUUCAAAACGGUUGAUUGCACUAAAUUAAAAAAAACAUUUCACUCAGCUUAAUGAGAAUGAUUUCACUCAUUUCAAAAAUUGAUUUUAAUCAUUUUAACAAACAUGUUUCACUCAUUCAAAACACUGGUUUCACUCAUUCCAAAAUAUAUAUAUAAAUAAUUUAAUACGGUUGAUUCACUAAAUUGGAAAAAAAUAUUUCACUUAGCCUAAUAGAAUGAUUUCUAUUAUUUAAAAAAAGAUUUCACUCAUUUCAAAAAGUGAUUUCACUCAUUUUAACAAACAUGUUUCACUCAUUCAAAACACUGGUUUUACUCAUUCCAAAAAGUAUGUUUCAUUGUGUUCAAAAAACAGAUUCCGCUCAUUCGAAAAACUUGUUUCACUCGUUUCAAAAGUUGGAUAUAACUUAUUUAAAAAUGGUAGAUUUCAGUAAUUCGAAAAAAUGAUUUCACUCAAUUUAACAGACAUCACUACUGGAAUCAGAAGAUUUGUCGUCUGUCCCCUCUUUGCCGUCACCUAGCGGACGACAAAGAACGGCUUUGCCAUCAGCCACCGGAAAGCAGACGGCCAAGGAAGGCUUUGCCAUCAGCCAACAUUUUGCCGUCCGCUAGCUAACAGCAAAGAUUCUUUGUCGUCCGGUAGCUGACGGCAAAGAGGGUGUUUGGCCCACUGGAUGUUAAGCCCUAACAGGCCCCCUCUUUGCCGUCCGCCAGCAGAUGACAGAGCGUCCAUUGCCCUUAGCUUGCAGACGGCAAAGACGACAUGGAUCCGGUGUGCCAGGUGUCUUCCAGUUAUUCGCCUUCGUUGCCAUGUCAUUUGCUUGUGUGUUGCAUUUUGCCAUGUCAUCAUCUGCAUUUCAUCUGCAUGUUUUCCAAAACUUGCAUCCGUUCAGGUUCCCCUGGUUCUCUCCNNNNNNNNNNNNNNNNNNNNNNNNNNNNNNNNNNNNNNNNNNNNNNNNNNNNNNNNNNNNNNNNNNNNNNNNNNNNNNNNNNNNNNNNNNNNNNNNNNNNNNNNNNNNNNNNNNNNNNNNNNNNNNNNNNNNNNNNNNNNNNNNNNNNNNNNNNNNNNNNNNNNNNNNNNNNNNNNNNNNNNNNNNNNNNNNNNNNNNNNNNNNNNNNNNNNNNNNNNNNNNNNNNNNNNNNNNNNNNNNNNNNNNNNNNNNNNNNNNNNNNNNNNNNNNNNNNNNNNNNNNNNNNNNNNNNNNNNNNNNNNNNNNNNNNNNNNNNNNNNNNNNNNNNNNNNNNNNNNNNNNNNNNNNNNNNNNNNNNNNNNNNNNNNNNNNNNNNNNNNNNNNNNNNNNNNNNNNNNNNNNNNNNNNNNNNNNNNNNNNNNNNGUAGGUAGACCGCCUGCCAAUUUUCAUUCCAUUUGGAGGUCGUUUGAUGCCCCAACGGUUAACCGCGUAGCUCGAAAUCCCCUUCUCUUUGCAGCCUAGCCCCUCUUCACCACAGCCCAUGAGCCCAUCCAAACCCCCUCCAUGCUCUCAGUCGUUCGAUCACGAUAGUGUGAGCGAAAACCGUACUCCAUUUGGACACUCCUAGCUCCCUCUACCUAUAAAAACACAUCCUCUCCCGAAUUUUGCGAAUGAAUCAUACCCUAACCCUAGCCUCUUCCUCCUCUCGCCGCCGGACGUGUCCACCCCGCGUCGGACGUGUCCGCCCGCCGCCGCCGCCUCCUCCUCUCAGCGCCUCCGUCCGCUACCCUCGACUAGCCGCCGCCCGAAGCUCCCCGCCGCCUCCUCGCUCGUCGGGCUCCGGCGUCGCCCGCGCACCGUCCCUUGCCGGCUUGCUCUGCCUCGCGCCGCUCCCCUCCGGCCCAGAUCCUGCGGGAUCCGGCCGGAUCUCGCACCACCCGGCCACCUCGACCUCCCUGACGGCCUCCUCCGCCCGCGUCUCCGGCCGCCAUCGUCAACUCUGGCGAGGUCCGCGGAUCGGGAUCAGAUCCACCACCUCAACGAUCCAAACGCCUCCCCCACGCCCUGGAGCCCUCCGUCCCGCUCGUCCUCGUCUCGGGUUGACUUUUUGCGAGGGUAAAUUUCCACUAUCAUUUUUCUGUGAUAUUUUUAUGCCCUGUUUGUCAUCCCAUAACUUCAUGUGUGCUACACUGUUUCAUGCAUAUGUUAUAUCAAAAUGUUCAUUGGGAGAUACUCUUUAUUUCAUUCCAUUGUCCCAUGCUUGUUUGAGUUCAUCUUAAUUCCCUUAUCAUCGUUGCAAGAGUGGUAUAUGAUGUUAACUGUUGUCUGUUACCAGAACUUGCUGUUUUGUCUUUUUCAUUGCAUUUUGUGUGUGCAUCCUAUGAGCUUGAUGUCUACAUGAGUUUUGAGCUACAUCAUGUCAUAUUUACAGUGGUGCAAUCCAUGUAUUUUUGUGAGUCUUGUAGUGAGUGCACCGAGCUUGUGAAGUAGGGUACUUGUUGUUACUGUUUUGCUAGGCUGAAUCUGCUAUAUCAUGAUGCUAUGUAGACUUGUUGCUACAAGUCAUUCUAUGCAUAACCUGGAGAUGUUCACUAAGGAUGUUUUGAUUUACAUGUCAUGCUCUAUCCAACAUGACCCUUGUCGCAUUUAUAGCCUACUGUAGCUUGUUGUAAUCUUGCUCCAAACUUGAUAAACAAUGUUGCUGUCAGCUUGUUAACAUUAUGUUUAGUUUUGGCCAUGUGUUUUGCUAGUGAUCCAUGCAUCCUAUGAACUUGCUCUUACCAUUCUUCGCUUUAUAAAUAUGUCUUAUUACUGUUGGUCACCUUGUCAUGACAUGUGUUGCUCUGUGGUGAGUUGUACAAGCUCACCAACAUGCCUACUUAUUGUUGUUCCUGCCAUGUACUGCUAUCCUGAAUCUGUCAUAUCAUUUGCCAUGUUUGUAUGGAUGCUACCAUCUUUUCUGUUGAUAUUUGGAAUUAGUUCAGUAAGGGAGAUUUGUUCUUUGUCUUUAUUAUUAGCAUUCCAUGCCUUUGUUUUCCAUGUUUAGUUUCUGUAACAUGUUGUUUGAUAGCUCUAAAAAUUGCAACCUGAUGUUAUUUCUGCCAUGUCCAGUGAUUUCUGCUAAGUCUGUGAACUGUUAUUAUUUGCAAUCUUGCCAUGACCUUUUGAGCAUGUUCUAGUGAUUUCUGGAGAUAUCUCAGUGUUCAUGUUUUGUCAUGCUUUACAUGUACAUAAUGCCCAUGCCUUUUGUUCUUAUGUUGAGCUGAUGUAGCAUAUUUGUUUGAUGCUUGCUAGAUGCCUAUUUGUUGUUUUGGACAGCUUGUCCUUUAAACUUGUUUCAUGUGUAUGUGUUAAACCGUUGCUCCAUUUUGAGUGUGCUCUAUAUGAAACUUGCUUAGAAUUUCAUGUAGUUUCAUAUUAUCAUGUUGCAUCCUUGUUUUGAGGUGUUUGCUUGAUGUUUGGAUGUAUUUUGCAUCAAUGUCAUGUUUAACUUGUUUUGCUCAUAUCUUCUAGGCCGUAGCUCCGAACUAAAUGAACUUUAUACGUAACUUGACUAGAAUUUUGUGUAGAUCAUCUUGGUGCAUCUUAACUUGCUGUUUAACAACUCAAACAUAAGUUUUAUUCAGAUCUGGACCAAUUCCUAAAUUUGCAUAUGAGGACUUGCCGGAUUUGUUAUAUGUUGUUUCCGGCCUCAUUUAAACUUGCUUUGAUGUGUUGCUCUUGUAUGCAUCAUCUCUUGCCAUGAGUAGCCUCAUAUAGCCUUUGUCAUGCAUAAUGUUUGGUUGUGCAUCAUGCCAUGUCUAUGUGUUGUGUGUUUACCUUGUUGUUUGCUUCUUUCCGGUUGUGCUCCUUCUCGUUAGUUCCUGUUUCGUUGCGAUCGUGAGGAUUCGUUUGUCUACGCUUGGUUCGUCUUCGUGGCUUCAUCUUCUUCAUGGACUCGUUCUUCUUCCUAGCGGGAUUUCAGGCAAGAUGACCGUCACCUUGGAUCUCACCACUAUCAUUGCUAUGCUAGUUGCUUCGUUCUAUCGCUAUGCUGCGCUACCUAUCAUUUGCUCUUCAAGCCUCCCAAAUUGCCAUGUCAGCCUCUAACAUUUUCAUCCUUCCUAGCAAACCGUUGCUUGUCUAUGUUACCGCUUUGCUCAGCCCCUCUUAUAGCAUUGUUAGUUGCAGGUGAAGUUGAAGAUUGCUCCAUGAUGGACAUGAUUAUGUUGGGAUAUCACAAUAUCUCUUAUUUAAUUAAUGCAUCUAUAUACUUGGUAAACGGUGGAAAACUCGGCCUUAUGCCUGGUGUUUUGUUCCACUCUUGCCGCCCUAGUUUCCGUCAUACCGGUGUUAUGUUCCUUGAUUUUGCAUUCCUUACGCGGUUGGGUGAUUUAUGGGACCCCCUUGACAGUUCGCUUUGAAUAAAACUCCUCCAGCAAGGCCCAACCUUGGUUUUACCAUUUGCCUACCUAAGCCUUUUUCCCUUGGGUUCUGCAGACUCAAGGGUCAUCUNNNNNNNNNNNNNNNNNNNNNNNNNNNNNNNNNNNNNNNNNNNNNNNNNNNNNNNNNNNNNNNNNNNNNNNNNNNNNNNNNNNNNNNNNNNNNNNNNNNNNNNNNNNNNNNNNNNNNNNNNNNNNNNNNNNNNNNNNNNNNNNNNNNNNNNNNNNNNNNNNNNNNNNNNNNNNNNNNNNNNNNNNNNNNNNNNNNNNNNNNNNNNNNNNNNNNNNNNNNNNNNNNNNNNNNNNNNNNNNNNNNNNNNNNNNNNNNNNNNNNNNNNNNNNNNNNNNNNNNNNNNNNNNNNNNNNNNNNNNNNNNNNNNNNNNNNNNNNNNNNNNNNNNNNNNNNNNNNNNNNNNNNNNNNNNNNNNNNNNNNNNNNNNNNNCGGGGGCCAGUGCUCCUUCGAGUGUUGGUCCGAACUAGAGCCACUUGCAGCGCCACCUCGGGGAAACUUGAGGGCUGGUUUUAGUUGUACAUAGUGUUCAUCCGGUGUGCCCUGAGAACGAGAUAUGUUCAGCUCCUAUCGGGAUUUGUCGGCACAUCGGGCGGCUUUGCUGGUCUUGUUUUACUAUUGUCGAAAUGUCUUGUAAACCGGGAUUCCGAGACUGAUCUGGUCUUCCUGGGAGAAGGAAUAUCCUUCGUUGACCGUGAGAGCUUGUGAUGGGCUAAGUUGGGACACCCCUGCAGGGUAUAAACUUUCGAGAGCCAUGCUCGCGGUUAUGUGGCAGAUGGGAAUUUGUUAAUAUCCGGUUGUAGAUAACUUGACACCAGAUAUGAAUUAAAACGCAUCAACCGCGUGUGUAGUCGUGAUGGUCUCUUUUCAGCGGAGUCCGGCAAGUGAACACGGUUUUGGGUUAUGUUUGGCGUAAGUAGGAGUUCAGGAUCACUUCUUGAUCAUUGCUAGCUUCACGACCAUUUCGUUUGCCUCUCUUCUCGCUCUUAUUUGCGUAUGUUAGCCACCAUACUUGCUUAGUCGCUGCUGCAACCUCACCACUUAUCCUUUCCAUUACCAUUAAGCUUUGCUAGUCUUGAUACCCAUGGUAAUGGGAUUGCUGAGUCCUCGUGGCUCAUGGAUUACUACAACAACAGUUGUAGGUGCAGGUUAUGCGAUGAUCAUGACGCGAGAGCAACAUUUAGUUGUUCGGAGUUCUUCUUCUGCUUCUUUGAUCAGGGGAUAGGUUCCAGGUCGGCAGCCUGGGCUAGCAGGGUGGAUGUCAUUUGAGUUUCUAUUUGUGUUUCAUCUGUAGUCGGAUGUUGAUCUUACGUAUGAUGUAUUGAUGUAUUCUUGCGGCAUUUGUAUGCCUUGUAUGUAUCCCCAUCUUUCAUGUAAUGUUGAUGUAAUGAUAUCCACCUUGCAAAAGCGUCUCAAUCUGCGGUUCUAUCCUUGGUGGGACCUUCGAGUUUCUUUAGGAUAGUAUCGCAUAUUGGGCGUGACAGAAGGGGGAAUGAGCGAGACAGAUGCUAGGGUUUUGGUGGAUGCCUUUGUAGGCCGAGGGGGGCACGUGGAGGCCAUCCAUGUCCAUGGUGCCAUGGAUGCACGCCACGCCUAGGCCUCUGCCUCCCCACUGUACAGAGGUGGGGGAGAGGCUGUCGUGGGCUGGGCUUUGGGGCACUGUGGACACUUGAGCCCAUAUGCACAAUAGUUCAGGUCCUUUUCCUUUUAUUCUUUUACAUUUUUGUUUUAUUUAUUUCUUUUCUACUUUGAAUUUUAUCUUAAAACCAAUUGACUUUUGUUGAAUUUGAAAAUUGGCACAUAAAUAUGAGACAACAUUUUGAGCCAUCACAAAUAGUUUCAAUUUAUCUUGAAAUGUUUAACUAUUUGUUUAAAUCAGAAAAGCUCAAUUUAAUAGUGUUAGUUCUGUUUUAAAUGAAGAUAAGGGAGUUUUAAUAAGAAGAAGAAAUAUUGGUUUCUUCAUGAAAAUUAGUUAGUGAAUAAUUGCAACCCAACGAACAUUUUAAAUUUACUUUUUGAAGAAUUACAAAUUUGACUUGUAUUUAAAUUUGAAUUUGACUUAGGUUUUAACAAGGAGAGAUUAAGCUUAGCAAAAUGGGAUGGUGUGGCAUCAUUAGUCAGGUAUUCAUUGUAGCAUAAUUAUCGGGGUGUUACACCUGCAUUCAGCGGGCCAUAAUUGGGCCGGCCCGCAACAAGCUGUACUAGGGCCUGCUGCGGAGCUGCUGUAUGGGCCCUUCAUAGACACUGUAUGACUAGGCUCAUAACUCUAAUGGGCCUUUAGCAUGCCCAAAUUUAGUUCAGCCGAUGUAGCUUUGGAUCAUUAACAAGCUGAAUAUUCUGCUGGCAUGUGUUGGCCCAAAAGACACCAUGGGCCUUUAGCAGGCCGAGAAGCAUGUUGGGCCUCAAUUUUUAAGAGUAGUCCAUGGGCCUUUAGUAGGCUGAAAUAAACAUCGAGCCAAUAUAGGCCUAGUUACAUUACGGGUCAUUAUCAGGCCGAAACAUACCUCGGGCCUUGGUUUUCCCAAUCAUCUCAUAGGCCUUUAGUAGGCCAAAAGCUCUGUAGAGGCACCAACGGGCCGAAAUGUAAGACACACCUUUAAUAGUCCCAAAGUCAGGUUGGGCUGAAGUGUUGCCACCGAGAUCACGGGUCAUUAACCGGCCAAAUGUCACGUCAGACCAUAAAUGGCCCAUGUGCAACACGGGCCAUUACCAGGCCAAAAGACACACCAUGCUGAAAUGGGCCAUUUCUACAUCGGGACUCUAACAGGCCGAAAACACACUGGGCCAUAAUGGGGUCCAAAGACUAAGCGAACAAUUAAUGGGCCGGAUUUGGCGGUGGGCCAUAAAUGGGUCAACCCACUAGUACCUGAGCGAAGCUUAUGGGCCUUUGACUGGGCCAGCCUUUUUAACCUAAAUGGGCCAAUGUUGGGUCGUGCCACAUAUCAUUUUUUCAUAGGCCCAUCUCGUCCAAGGAUGAAUGACAUCCAUCGCGACGUCGAACUUAUACGUGGUUCCUUUGGCCAAUGAGAAUUUUACACGUGAAAAAUCGCCCUUGGCCUGGGCUGUUAGCGGGUUAUCGGAUCCAAAACCAGACCCGAGAGCUUAACGGUGACCCAUUACAGUGGAUGCCACGUGUCGGUUACCCUUGGCAAAAGCACUUUGAUGACGCACCAUUUAUCGUCAUGGAAGUGGACACUUCCAUGAUGAUAAUUUGAGUAUUGUCAUGGAACACUUCUACGACAACACAUGUAUGACUAUCUUGAUUCCGUCAUAAAAUCGUCACGAAUGUACAUGCAUGACAGAAAACAUGACCUACUAUGACAAACACGUAUCAUCACAGAAUUGUUUUUUUGUAGUGGUGUGUGCUGGCACUGCUCCUCAACAGAAAGCAAGAGAAGGUAUUGUUUUCAAGAUGGCCUAAGGUAUGAGCGCAGUCAGUCGUACCAACCUUGACUUCAGUGACAGGUUUGAAAAAUAAGAGCUUGUGGCGACCAGUGGCACAAGCAGUGAUACGCCUGCACGCGGCCGUACCAAAGGUCAUCGAUCGAUAUUUUUUCUUGAUUCUUUCCGGAUUUUGUUUUGAUUUUCUUCUAACUUCGUCUCUAAGAUUGAUCCUCUAACCAUUAUUUAAGGCCAAGGGUUACGUCCCUUCACUCAAUAUCAAUCUAAUCUCGAGUCCUUUUUGCAUGACACCUCUUCACCAAACCUUGUUCUACAAGAUAAACAAACGGGUCACCGCCAUGAGAAAUGGAUCUUCCCCAACUUCCAUCAAGAUCAUCUCCUUCCCAAGCUUGGAGGAGGUCGUCCUGAUGGGAUGGGAGGAUCCUAGAAAAAUGAUCCUAAAGGAGGAGAUGCCGGAGGAGGUGGAGACUAGCAAGGGGAAGAUCAUCGAGGAAGAGAAGGAAAAGAAGAAGAAGAAGUUUAACAUCCGAGGAUCUAUUCCUCUAUCUCCUCUUGGGCCGGAACCACGUGAGUGGGGAAAGGAACAGCCGUCCCCUGACGCGAUAAGCGGAAAGAUCAAGCAGCUCGAGAAAGUCUCUAAGGCAUGACUUGACACUAUUGGUGAGGGGAUCGAUUCUUAUUGGAUGAUUAGCAAAGACAUGAAAGGUAGGGUCGACGGUCUCUUCCAUACCAUAGAGGGUUGGGUGGUGGAGAUAUUUGGGAUCAACCAAACUCGUAAUUUCAUAACACUCUAAAUGUGGUUGUGCUCAACUUUCAAGUGAUGUAGACUGUUAGAUCCACAUAGUUUGACAACUAAGAUAGCUUGGAAUUGACCAAUUUUUGCUUUUGUGUAAUUUAUAUAAAAAUAGUAUUUGUAUCAUCAAACUUGCAAGUUUAAUCAUCAGUGGAACUUAACGUAAUAAGGUAAGGGCAUCUACUUCUUUUAGUCAUCCUUGAAACUCCACUAAAACACAUUUGUAUCACAAACUUCCAUGCUUUAUUCCCAUUUAUUUUCGUAAGCAAAAAAAUUAAAAAUUACUAUUACAAGUUUCAAUAGUACAGCCACAAUAGAGCAUAGUACCAACGCAAGUGAGACCUGGAUUUGUAGGAUCAUUGCAAAUAAACUCGUAGCAACAAGUUUUUUGUGCACAACUUCUGCAUGGUGUGCACCGUCUUGAAACGGUUCUUUGAGGCAAAUAGGUCCCUUGGACAAUUGUCUUCCUGUCACGUACUGAGUUGUCAGUUGCGACACUUUCUGUUGCUCCUGUUCAUCAUGCACAUCAUAUAUUUAUGUUAAUUUGAAAUAUAAUGAUAAAGGGCAGUGGCAUCUCUUUUUAUAGCAUGAGAAUCUAAAUAAGAACUCAUAAGUCCAACCAACAGAACUCCAUUUUUUUACUCAUUUUUGUGUGCAAGUAUAUAUAUACACCGUUUUAGCGGAUUGUUCAAGUACACAGCGACUUUUUCUAGAUAUAUUCAUGCUUAAUAAAUAUAAAGUUAACAUUUUUAAGCAAUAAAUGGUAAGUGAUUACCAAACUUUAUGAACAUUGAGCAACAUGUAAAUAACCAUGGGUGUACAAUGUUUGAACUUUGUCAGCCUGUAUAAUAAUAGGUUUUGCUUGGCCUUUUACGCUAUUAUUAUUACUAAUCUACCAUAAAAGAUGUUAAAACUCGAGAUUUUUGUACCAGUACCGGAUAUGUAGAUGAGGGUACCUAGUACUUGCAUAAAGCAUAUUUGAACCAAAUAUUCCACGCCUUAUGUCUAUAUUGGCGUAGGAUUGAUAUACGAAUUUGGUAAAAGUCUACUUCUUUUUGUAGAUCUAUCACUCCACCAAUACGAUGUCUAUACAUACCUUGGGCUUGGAAGUGGACACUGAGAAUAGAAAGGAUGACAAGGGUGACAAACAUAUGUGAGUAUGUCGCCAUGGGUAUCUAAUAAGAGAGAUCACUUCGGGGUUUGUUUUGUGCUCUGAAUGGGUAGAAACAUUGGACGGGUGAG